This 45230-nucleotide long non-coding RNA is filed under the name Coffea arabica (coffee). RNAcentral's name for it is "long non-coding RNA (CARA_LNC002166)". Lineage: Eukaryota; Viridiplantae; Streptophyta; Magnoliopsida; Gentianales; Rubiaceae. The record is from RNAcentral.
UCAUUUCCAUUAUAUUUCUGUGCUUCUUCAAUUUCCCGUACUAAAGAUUUGACACCAUCUCCGCAAAAACUCACCUUAAUUGUUUCAAGAGUAGAUAUACGCCCAAAACAAGCAGGCACCAUUUUCAAGCUAAAAAUUUUGAGGAGUUUUAAUUGCUGAAGGCACGGGAAGUAAUCAUCAUUCAUCACUAUCAGGGUCUGUCUCUAUCCACUCAACAAUCUCUAGAGAUUGCAAAGUCAAGACCCUGAGUUUAGGGAAUCCUCCUUCCACCAGCUCCCAUUUUUUGCCGUCCAUUGACCGCUGUCUUAAUUUGAGGAGUUCAAGAUUGGGUAGUUGUUCAAUCAAUGACAUUUUUCUACAGGGAAGACUCAGAGCUUCAAGACUCAACUCUUUCAAAUUCAUGGGAAAAGAAAGCUAAACAUGUUCCCGUGAACCUAAGAAGCUGUAGCCACCUAAGGUGAGUGACUCUAGGCACUCCAAAAUUGAGUUCUCCAAACGCAUUGUACCCGAAACGGAGCAUGGAUUUUUCCCCAGUUUCACUCUCAAAUUUUAAGGGAGAAACAGAUCUCGCCGACUGGAGAGCACGCAAGUAUUUCUUUCCUGAAAUUUCUUUUUUCCAGUGGGAAGGUGAAGAAGAGUAAUGAGAUAAUAAGUUAUUCAACAGACAAACGGAGCAAGACCAAGAAAGAACAGAUGAAUCAAAUUUAACGAGAGAGCGGUCAAAUAAGCUGGAAAUGAUGUUGGUUUGAAUAAAGUAAAAGGAAUUUUAUUGACUAACAGCAAAAUAUCUGAAUAACCUUUAAGCGGCCGUGCAUAUUGAUAAAAUGGUGCACGGUGUACAAAUCUCAUUGAUUGUUUCCACCGUGUCUUGACAAGAAAAGAGCCAUCGAUCCUUUCAAUUUUCACCUCAAUCUUCCACAAAAGCACCAAAGAAAGCCAGACCACCCAAAUGACCUUCACACUCCCUGAUGAAAUAUCAUCAAGAAAAAAUAGAGCAAUAAUUAGUUGUUUGUUCAUCAAUUUCAUUGUGCUCGUGCACGCACUACAGGCAACUGAAGUAGUACAAAAAAGCUACCAAAAUGUCAAUAAAAAUUAAACUCCCUUAAAUGAAAAAAAGCAUGAUUAUUUCUACAAGCCAAUUAAUGGUAACGACAAAAAAAAUUACCAGAUAUUGCACCAGCUCAAUCUAUGAUGAUGACCUUCAGAUUCUCAUUUCCAUUAUAUUCCUGUGCUUCUUCAAUUUCCCUCACUAAAGAUUUGACACCCUCUCCGCAAGAACUCACAUUAAUUGUUUCAAGAGUUGAUAUACGCUGUAGACAAGCAGGCAUCAUUUCCAAAUUAGAAAUGCUUUGGAGUUUUAAUUGCUGAAGGCACGGGAAGUAAUCAUCACUGUCAGGGUCUGUCUCUAUCCACUCAACAAUCUUUACAUAUUCCAAAGUCAAGACCCUGAGUUUAGGGAAUCCUCCUUCCAUCAGCUCCCAUUUUUGGCCGUCCAUUGAACUGGUCUCUUAAUCUGAGGACUUCAAGAUUGGGUAGUUGUUCAAUCAAUGACAUUUUUCUACAGGGAAGACCCAGAUUGAAAGGCUCAACUCUUUCAAAUUCAUGGGAAAAGAAAGCUCAACAUGUUCCCGUGAACCUGAGAAAUACUUGCCCCCUAAGGUGAGUGACUCUAGGCAUUCUAAUCGACUCAUGUUGCAGCAUACUCUAUUUCGUCCCCCACAAUUGAAAAUUUGAAGUUGGUGAACGUUGGGAAUCCUUCUCAAUAUGUUCUCUCCCUCUUGAUCAAGAUAAAGACACAGAUUUGAGAGUGUGUCUAAAUCGGGUAAAGUGGAGAGGUUUUCAACAACGUUGUCGCUGGAAGAGAGAAGAAUAAUGCAGUUACGCUGUACAUGUACAUGCCUCAACUUCUUCAUGUUCCAGAUGCUAUCUGGCAAUGAAACCGUCGUGCAAGAAUUUAGACGGAAGGUUUCCAAAUGUGAGAGCUUGGCUAUAGAUGGUGGAAUGAAUUCCAUGGGCUGAGCUGUACGAAGGGCUAAGUACCUCAAACAAAGAAGUGAUUCGACUUCAGCUGGAAGCUCCUUCAACAUUAGGUUAAUGUCCUCUAAAUUCAAAACUUUAAGACGUUUGUAGAUGCAAAAAGGAGGAGAUAUUAAGCAUCCCAAACUUAUCUCCUCGAGUAGCAUUGAAGAAUAGCAGAGUAUCUAAAUCUGGACAAAAUAGUUUUGACUUUAUAAAAUCUUCUUCACUGCAGCAAAUGGACAACCGAUGUAGGUUGGGAGGCUCAUUAAAGAUAGAAAGCUCAUCAUAUCCACGCAGGAUCUGAAGAAAAUUUUUUUCUUUCGCCACAGUCUUACAGAACUCUAAUAUCAAAUCGUGAAUGUAACAAGUUUUGCCUCCACCAAUGGAUCUGUUUUCACUUACCAUAACUAAGUUUCGAUGAAUUAGGUCCAUCAGAUAUUCUUCUGCAAUAUCCUCUGAUCUCUUUCCUUCAAUUAUUUCCACGAACCCUUCUGCAAUCCAGAGACACAUCAACUUCUUGGCACCAAUUUUUUCAUCCUCUCGAAAUGCAGCAAAAUACAGCAAGCAUGCCUUCAAGUGAUAUGGUAAAUGCUCAUAACUGAGCUCCAUCGACUUUUUGCAUUGUUCUGCAUCAGACACCGUGGUUGAACUUAAACUUUCAGCAAAUCCUUCCCAAACACAAAUAUCAUGCUCUAUAGUUGCUAGGACUCCAGCUGCAACAACAAUUGAAAGUGGCAAUCCUUUGCACUUUUUGGCGAUCUCCAUUCCCAAUCCAUGAAUGCUUGAGGACAAUCUUCUUUUCCAAAAACCUUCUUCUGCAGUAAUUCCCAACUUUCUUUCUCACUGAGUGGGCGAAGAUUGUGAGGUUUCCCCCCAUAUUCAACCUGUGAAGCCACAUUAGAAGAUCGACUUGUGAAGAUGAUUCUACUUCCUUUCUUGUCAUCCGGGAAUGAAAUUCCCAGCUCAUUCCAUACUUCAAUGUCCCAGACAUCAUCAAAAACAACAAGAUACCGAUUCCCCUUCAGCUUUUGGUAGAGCUUUUGAAGCAACGCAUGUUCAUCCAGAUUUUGAAACUCAUCAUCCAUCCUCGAAUGUUUGCCAUCAGAGUGUAAAAUUUGAAGUAACACAUUUUUCAUGUUAUAGGCUUGAGAAACUAUACACCAAAGACGAAUGUGGAAGUUAUAGAUUACUGAACUAUCAUUGUAAACUUUUUUGCUAAAGUUGUCUUACCAAGCCCAGCCAUUCCCACAAUGGGAACAAUUUCCACCUGUUUUGAUCCGCUUACAAGUCGUUCAAUUACUUUUUCUGCCUCAUCAUCAAGACCAACCAUGACUUCAUGGGCUAUUGGCAUUUUACCUUUUGAUAGCAUGUGGGUGGAAGUCUUGCUAACUUCUGGUGCUCUUAAGCUAUGAAAGGAAGGAAGACUUUCAAUAACGCUUGAGCCACUGAUCUGAUCCUUAAAAUGCUUGAGAUGGGUGUUGGUAUUAGCCAGCAUAUCACAACAGUCAAGGACCUCUGUGGAUUCUAGAAGCUAACUUCUCCUUCCUUCACUCUGUUUAGAGAAGGCGAGCAAAUUAUAAUGCCUGCCUCACAAAAAGAGCACCAAUUUUUUCGUUUUGCUCAUUCAUCUUCUCCUGCUGCUCCCUUAAAAUGCUUCUCAAAAACCUCAGUCCUGCAUAGAGUAUUGGCAUUUCAUCUUUCAUAGAAUCCAUAAAGCUAGAGCUGCAGCAUAACAGCUCCCAGAGACGACUUAUCAGAGAAUCAUUGAAGUUGUUCAAUAUCUGCUUAUCCAUCAUUCUAUUAUGCAAUGAUUUUGAGGAUCUUGUAGCUUUAAGAACUUCCAUAUAAAUCUCAUAGACUUGAAAAUCAAUAGGUGUGAUUUUCUGUUGUUGCUCAUAUAUCAUGGAGCAGAACUGAGGAUUGCAGAACUCAUCAUCCCAACAAGAACACAUGUAAGAGAGCGUGCUGCGUUCAAAGUCACCACUUCAAAGUGAGCCAACAGCAAGGCAGGAAUAUCUACAGUUCCUCGCAAUUUGGCAAAGGGAAUGAAGCUUUUCAAGAAUGUUAGCUUUGCUUCAAGGGCUUGGACUUGAGCACCAACUUGGGGAUCCAUUUCAACAAUACACAAAUCGCUAGUUGUUAAAUCCGCUAGAUUUUGUAGAAUGAGGUCUAUAAAUUCCAUUAGUUCAUCAACUGGCAUGCAAGAAUUUGAUUCCAAUGAUCUGCUGCUUGCCAAAGCAAAAUAAACUUGGAUGAUUGCUUGCUUAAAUGAUUUGAUCUGUUUCAAAAAUUUAAAAAACACUUCAUCGCCAACAUCACGUAUGCCAAGUGCAUCAGAUUCCAACAUAAGGCAAAGAGAGUGAAUGUCCUCCUCAUAUUUGUGAACGGUAUCUUCAAUGCAAGAUAAAAAAGAUGGAAGACUCACCAAGUCCAGAUCAUUGCAGUGUCUCCACUUUCUUGCACACAUAACAAAUGUUCUGAGAAAUGUUAUGUUCAGGUACGCAGCUUCAAUUUUGAGAAAUGUUACACCCACGUCCGUAUAUCCAAUUUUGCCUGUUCGUAACAUGACAUUGAGGUCGUCCAUAAGCAACUUUAGAUCAAGGAAGACAUGAUCGACGCUGCAAGUGGAGGCCACGUCCAUCUGUUGUGCAGGGAUUUUUCCUUAGUUUCACUCUCAAAUUUGGAGGGAGAAAAGAUCUCGCCGACUGCAGAGCAAGCAGCCGAAAUUUUUUUUCUGGUGGACAGUGAAGAAGAGAAAUGAGAUAAUAAAUAUUAUUCAACAGACAACGGAGCAAGAUCGAGAAAGAACAGAUCAAUCAAAGUUAACGAGAGGGAGCGGUCAAAUAAUCUGGAAAUGAUCUUGGUUUGAAUAAAGUAAAGAAAUUUUAUUGACUACAACUGCAUAGUUUUUUGGAGUUUUUUUUUUUUUUUUUGAAAUACUCAUUUCGUUGUUGAGAAGUGGACAUCGCACGUUAACAAAGGUACUGACUCAGACUGUUUUACAAUUUCGCGCAUUUUGGUAUAAUCAUCGCGUGGUAAAAUGUACCGACUCCCAUUCCCUUUGUACAAUUUUUCCCAUUGUACAUUUAUAUUGACUCAAAUUGAAAAUAACUAAAUCAAUAAGGGAAAAACCUUCCGAAAUCUAAAGUGGAAUACGUGCAAGUGGUGGGUCGGGUUUCAUAGAAUUAUUGGGAAUUGUUGGGAAUUAUUGCUGCACGUCCCUGUCCCUGUUUUUGCAAUAAUUCCAUAGUUUAAUAUGUUAAACUUUAUCUUUUGUCUUUUAGAGAGCUGUUAUCUUAUUUAGUGUGGGUAUAUUAGGAAGAACAAAAAAAAUAAACCAUCAAAAUAUAAAUGAUCCAGAGACUUUUAUUGGGAGGAGUAUAGAGAUAUAAAUACAAAUAUAGCUUUAACUGGUUUCUUUUCAUUUUUUUUUUAUUUCAGCAUGUAUCUUCAAGCUAGCUCUCUAGUUUUCUUCAAUUGUUUUCCUUCUCGAGCAAACCGCUAAAUUUGAUCACUUUCUCUUCUAAUUCUUUCAUAUUAAUAAUCAUGACCAUUGAUCUUGGAGAUUAAUAGCCAUGACCAACAAAGUAAAGAGUCUGGGAAAAAAUACGAGGGCUUCUUCAACCUUAAAAUUGUGGAAGCAGAGAAUUCGAGAUUUCUACAAUUACUAGUGUCAAUUAUAUCAUAAAAUAUACGUAUUAAUAUAAUAAAUAUAAAUGCUAAGAUAAUAAAUAUAAACAGUAAAACAAUAACUUGUAAAAUUAAUGUUACCAGAGUGCAUUAAUGUUACCAAAAUACUAUAGUCAAAGAGAUGAAUGGAUUAAAGAAGUGAAAAUUUCUACUAGCUAAUAGUAGUACUUCUUUUCAAGAGCCAGGACUUAAAUGCACGCUAAUUAUUUGUACAAAUUUAUUUACGUGAAUCAUAAAUAUAUUUUUCAAUCAUAGUUUUAUUUCACAUAUAUCAAAUCAAAAUAGUGACACAAUACUUUUCAAAAAAAAUUAUUCCAAAUAAUCUCAUAUUCAGACGCGAGUAUAUGCCCAUUUCAGUGUUACUUGGACCAUUGGAAAUUAAUUUUAGUCUUCUCACUAGUCUUUCUUCCACAUUCAGGGGGGGUCCAUUUGGAAAAUGAGAGAGAAGGGGACCGGUUGUUCUCGGGUCAAGCACGGCACCCAUAUUUUUAAAUGUUAGAUAUCAAUUCUUAAAUAUUUUUAAAUGUUGACGAAGAAUUAGUGACAAUGGUCUCAAGAGUCAGAACCGAAAUGUUACAGCUAUUAGAAAUCAAUUCAACUCUUAACAUCAGUCUUUCUUCCACAUUCGGGAGGUCCAUGUGCAGAAUUCGAUAGAUUGAUGAAGACCGGAUACUGUUCUGGUCAAGAAUGGCUACUGGACGGUCCCUUUUCUCGUUCUUUAAUUCAAGCUUUAGCCAUUAAGGGGCAAUGUUUUAGAUGGGAGAAGAUUUCAUUUACAAUGGCCUUGUGAUUCUAAACUGCUCCAAUUUUUAAUGUGUGAGCAACUAUAUUGAGGUUUUUGGGACCCGAACAAUUUUGGGCUAAUUGAUAUAUGUCGCAAGAACAUUUUCAUAUUCUCUUGUGGUUAAAUUUAAUAAUAUUAUACACAGCUAAUGAAUUGAUAAGGCUUUUAUAGUAUUGCAUUUAUCUCUCAGGUAAGACUACAAACGAAUCUCGUAAACCAGCUUUCUAGCAGCAACGACAACUGCCUCAAUAUUGGCUGGCUGAGCUCAAGCAGUUUGAUCAAAGUAUCAAAUCAAGUAGUUUGAUUAAGAAAAUACUCCCAAACCUCAUGCUAUAUAGACAUAAAUUUUAACAUUAGUACUGAUCGUCUAUUUUAAAUUCCUUCAAGAAAAAUAUUAUAAUUAAUAUCUACUUACAUAUGAGCUUAAUUAGAUCGGAUCUAUGCAAGUGGAGGUCAUCUCCAUCUCUUAUAAUGCAAGGAACUUCCUCAAUUUCACUCUCAAAUUUUAGUGUAGCAGCAUAAGGAGAAAUAUUAACAAAUCUCGCCUUCUCCAGAUCUAGCAAGUAUUUCUUUUGUGGAAUAUUCAAUUAUUCAACAAACAAACGGAGCAAGAAAGAAAAGAUUAACAAUUAACAACGUAGUGGUGACAGUAGUGUAGGAAUUACGAGAAAGUUGCAUCUCGGUUUGGAAAAGCAAAGAAUUUUUUAAUUCAUUACUUUAUGGUUUUUGAAUGAAUUAUUUCACUCUCAUUUUGUAGUUAAGAAGCACCAGUGUCGGCAUUGUCCACUAAGAAAGGGACCCCACACCUAGUCCCUUUUUUUUAAUUUAAAAAAUUUUUGCUUUCCAUAAGGUAAGACUUUCUUGGAAUUUUCGAGAGAAAAAGUGCAUAAAAGGUGCACAAAAAAAAAAGAAAGGAAAAAAUUAAAGUCAAAGAGAAAUUUUUAUUAUCACGAAAAUAGUUUCUUUCAUUUUCAAGUGAAAAGGAAAAAGAGAAUGAUAAUUUAUAAUUAGUGAUCUUUGUUAGCUUUAUUUAGCUUUUUUUUUUUUCUAUUUGUUGAAAAUUCAAGCAUUGUUGUUCAAUAUGCAUGCUUCAAAAAUCAAUCCUAUAAUCCAAAAAUCAAUAGCUAGUUUUUAUUUUUGAUAGGUUGUCGAAGCCUGUGCAAUAAUAAAACCUGCUCAAACUAAAAGUGAUUUCUGUAAAUAGCGGUGAGCAGGGUCGAAUCCACAGGGACUGGGAGUAAUUAUUUCUUUUCAAGUUCACAGUGACAAGGGGGUGUUUUUGUGCAGAAGGUGACAAUCAAAGAAAUUCAACUAAAAUCUAAGAAACUACUAAAAAUUAAAUAACAAAUUACUAAAAUCUAAUGAGUGAUAAUUAAGGAUCUAGCCAAGGAAUAACUUCAGCAAUGGUUCACCCAAUUGAUCAUCGAUAAGCAAAGAUAAUUCCAAUUAUUUAUCAAUAAAUAGGUUAUAACUACCAAACAAGCGAUGGCAGUCAACCCCUCCUUACUGUGUCGGUGAUCAAGGUACGCCCGUUAAUCACUGCUCUAAUUGAGAAAUAAUCUAGGUACGCCCAUAGAAUUUAAUUCCCCAAUUGCCUUACGUAUUAGAGGAGCCCUAUUCUAACCAAAUAACGCACUACCAGGGUUAUUUUAGAUUAGCCCGCGUAUUCCCCUGACACAAACCUAAUCAUGCCAGUUGUCACUAUUUUAGAGCAAUUAAACAAUUACGGAUUUAAUGCCCUAAUUGACAAUAGAUUACCCAAUCAACUAAUUAUCUGGAUCCAAGACAAUCAAUUAAUUAAAUAACCAUAAGUAUAGCAAUCAAGAAAUAUGCGGAUACCAAUAAGUAAAAGGAAAAGAUUAAAUUAAAACGAUCUCACAAUUUUAGGCGACCCAAAGCAUCCGUUAUCCCUUGACUAGACAAGGGAAAUUAGUUCAUUGUUGCUAAACAAAGCCCAAACAAAAUUGCAGAGAGAGACGCAGCCAUCAAUUGGGCAAAUGCCCAAGUUCAAUUCGUUUGAAGGAGUACUGAAAACCGAAAUUGCAUCAGAUGGUUUAAUGCGUUAACUUGUCUGCUCAUACCAAGGAAGAAAACGAAACUGCUACAAGCUAAAAGGUGGAAAAGCUAACAGGAAAAAGUCAAGUACUACGGCUAAGCUAUCCUGCCAUGCGUAAGAAAAGUAAAAAGCAAAGCUCCAGGAAAAGUCAACAAUAAAGCUCCUAAGCUACAGACGAAAGACUAAGCAAAGCCAGCCAUCCUUUCCUCUCUGAAGCAUUCUACUCUAAUGCCUCGCCAUUGUGCGGCGGCUCCCCUCCGAGAGGAAGAAAAUUCGAGAGAGCCCAAGAAGACUUCGGCCUCCUCCUUUUAAUGCUGUCUGCGGGCCAAUUACCAAGAAGGGUUGUGGUUUGAUAUUCCAAAAAUGUCCCUAGAUGCCUGCUACUUGAACUCUUUUUUGAUAACUGUCAAAUUGGCCUUGAUUGUGAUAUUUUUGUUCUACUCCCUGAAAUAAAUAUAAAUUACGAAAAAUGAGUAGAAUCUAAUAAUUAAUUCACAUCAAGUCAGGUAAUAGGGGAAAUUAAUAAUAAAAUAAAUAACAAAAUUGCAAUCUAUCAAUUCCCCCCACACCUAAACCAUGCUUGUCCUCAAGCAUAAGAACAGUACACAGAUACCGAAAUUUGAUAACGGCUGUUGCUCUAUCUAUCAUAUUGCCAAGAUAUCAAGAAAAAUAUAUAUCAAGCAUCAGUGAUUAAGAUCCAAGAAACAUCACUCCGGUUAGCUUCUAAACCACAAAUUUCUCCAAUUUCAGGUUAACUAAUCUAAGAAAAAGGAAUGACGUGCAACAUUUAUCAGCAAAUGGUCCAACUAUUAACCAAAAUCUCAACAUUAAAUCCAUAAAUCGGCAAGCUGACUAUCACAACCUUCACUUUUUUUUUUUUAGCACAUUUUUCUACUUUUUUUUUUUUUUUUGAUUGAUUUUUUCUCUCUUUUCUUUCUUUUCUUUUUUUUCUCUCUUUUCUUUUUUUUUAUUCUUUUUCUUUUCAAUAGUAACAAAAGACUUAGUCGCUAGCCAUUUGAGCCUUUUGACGCGAACAACUCAACAUUGGCCAGAUGAAGGAGCCCGGUUACUCAGCUUCUAUCGCCACGUGACCACGUACUCAUAGGAAUUACUACUUUUUGACGCGAGAAUCAACACUUUUAGGUGCAGAUCCCCGGUUACUCAGUAGUAACUAAUAGCGGAGUACAGUCAAGUUUAUUCAGAACUAAAAAUCACAAAAACUCAAUAUAACACAAGAACCAAAAGAAAACUUGCAUCAGCUAGCCUCAUUUUCAAACAUGGAGAACUAAAGUUAAUAACCGGACCAAUUCACAUGAAAAUGUCAAUAAUCAUUCCCUAUGCCUAGGAAAGUUAACCAAAAAUUAUAAGAGUAAAACAAUCAUUGAUAUUCACCAAAGAGAUGUUUUUGGAUUCAACCACAUUAACUUGAUACCCUUUUAUUAUUAAAAUUGGCAAUAGUAAAAUAGAGGCAAUAAUCCAACAUCAAACCUUGGCAUGCAUUACGAGCCAAUCACUAAAAGAAGAAAGAAAAAAAAUGAAUGAAAGACACUAGCACCAUAACAGCUCCCCCCACACCUAAAUCCUACAUUGUCCUCAAUGGAGGUAAUAAAGUAAUGAAAGCGAAGAGAACAAUGAAACUUCCCUGUUGAACAGCUAAGGGAUAGGAGGGAACAGUGGAGGGAAACCGAGUUCUGAGACAUCCUUGCCACUUGGCGGGUGAUGUUCGUCAUACGCUCAUCUACGUUGUGAAUCGGAGCCCGCAAGUGGUGCGACUUACAUCAGAGGCCAUCGAUGGGGGAGGCGCAGAAGAAGAGGGCUCGGGUCUUACCAUUUUCUCCAAAUGUCAUUUCAAUCAACAAGAGACAAAAAUUGCCCACAGGUAAUGUAAACAGCAAAUUCAAAGCAAUAACAAUUUAAUAGCCACUGGUGCCUCCCUAGUAGACAACCCAAUCAACAAAAUGCACAACCCAGGCACCCGGAGACUAGACAAAUAUCCCAACAAUACAGCAAUUUCAAUCAAUACUCACGGGUGGCCCCAAUUGGGUCAAAUACAGGCUGUCCAAAAUCGCAACAAAUGCUCUAAAGAUUUAGCAAUUGAAAUCAAUAGGUAAAAUACUCCCAGCAAGUCAAUUAGACGCCACCAACAGCAAUAAGCAAUGGAAGCGGCACAGUAGCCUUCCAAUUUAACAAACAAAUGCAGAAAAUACCCAACUAAAGGCACUUCAAGGGACGCAAGACAGAAAUCAGCAAAGUAGAACCCAAGUGAUACCAAAAAUAACCUUAACAAAGUAGAAUUCAACCAAUUUGAAUACGUAGAAUACGGUCAGAAAUGCCUCCCAAAGAUCAACAGAAGUGGCAAAACUUGCCCACCCAAAAUCUGUCCAAAUGGCUCCAAUUGGACAAGAAAUUGCACAACUCAAACGAUCAAAACUUAGCAAUUGGGCCAAGCAAUAGGCAAUGGCAACAACCAAUGGUUAGAAUUCGAGAACAGUUCAGGCACCAAAACCCAAGAAUCAAAUAGGCAGGCCAGUACAGAGGAUUAAGAAAUGGAAAGCAACACUGCAACCAGUACCACUGGUGCACAGACAGGAAAGAAUUAAAUUCAAUGGCAGCAACUCAACCGCAAGAACUUAAACUGGAAAAUUAAUCAACCAGUACCACUGGUGAGUCACAGGGAAAAAUAAUCAAGCGGCUAAUAAUUCAAUAAAUAACAGAAAAUACCCCCACUAUGGCAGCAAUUAAAUCCAAUUCUGUCCAAAAAAACACCCCCAAAAUAUGCCUAAAUCACCCCUGCUAUUAGCUAUAAAGAAACUCAAACACAGGGUGGACUGGAAUGACUCAACUAAAAACGCCCAAUAGGCACAACUCGCUUAAUUAGGCAAUCCAGAACACAGGAUUAUCAGAUGUUAAACAACUACCAUCACCAGUACCACUGGUGAGUGCAUAGGGAGAAAUUAAAGCAAAUAACCAAUCCAGUGAACAAAAUAGAUUCGAACACCCAAACAGCGCCAAAAAUGAGCGGAAAUUAAAGCCAGAAGCAGUGGUCAACUAACUCCCAAAGUACCCCCAAAUAUCGCAGCAGUUUAACUCAACUCUACCCAAAAUUAGACCAGAAAAUGCCCAAAAUUACUGCCCGCUGUUUUCCAACAAGAAGCCCAAGCAAAGGUGCAAAAUUUCGCAAUUUAGGGUUCAGAAUAAGACAAAUUGAGGCAGGAAUCGCAAUACCUCCACCUGCCAACAAUUGACAGGUGGUAACGAGCUGGGGUGGAGCUGGCGGAGAUGAGAGCUCACGAGCUGGUGGUGGGCUGGUGGACUUCGUCGACGAGCUGCAGGGGGAGGAAGUGCGGCUCGCGGCUGGGCGACAGGCAGCGGCGCGCGGCGCUGCUGUGGUGGUGGUUGUGGAGCUUGAGCAGGCGGCGGCGCGCAGCUCAGCGAAGAGGGGCGCCAAGCUGGUGGAGGUGAGCUAAAGUGCAGCGGCGAAAUGGUGGCGGCUGGAGCGCGCAGGUGGAGAUGGCGCAACGGGCUCGCUGGGGAGAGAGUUGCGCGCGAGGGCUGAUGGACUGGUGGAGGUUGGCGCGCAGUGUCGGUGACGGGCCGCGGCGGACGGUGGUGGCAGAUCUGGUGGUCCGCCGCUGGUGGCGCACGGCGGUGGUCUUGGGCGACGGACCAACAGGGGAACAGAGUAGAAGAAAGAAAGAAAAGGGAAAGAAAGAAGAAGAAAGAAAGAAAGAAAAGAAAGAAAGAAGAAAGAAAAAAAGGAUUUUUUUUUUUUUGUUUUACGUUGACAAGUCAAGAACUGGCUACGGUUAAGGAGAAAGAAAAUUUUUUCCUUUUGAUUCUGUACUACUUCCUCUUUUUCUUUUUUUUUCUCUUUUUUUUUUUUUUAUUUUUUCAAAAAUUUUUUAUUUUUAUUUUAUUUUUAUUUUUUUCUUUUGUAACAAAAAAAAAAAAAGGUAGCUACGGUUAAAAGAAAAAAAAAUUUUUUUUUUAAUUCUUACCUUUCCCGCGAACGUGACGCGGGCACGUCAAGAGAGCAAGAGAGCUCCCAGAAGUUUCAGAAGUUUCUGAUCGUGAGCGUCAUGCACGUCACCACGCGGGCGCGUCAUGACUGAAGGGCACCUAUAAAUCAGCAAAAACGAAAAUUAACACCCAAAACCAAUCAAACUCAAGGAAAACAUAUUUAAACUAUCACACGAAAUCAAACAAAUAAUUAAAAGAAACAAUUGGGUUGCCUCCCAAUAAGCGCCUUUCUUUAAUGUCUCUGGCUAGACAUUAUCAUGUUUUGUUCAUGGAGGAUAAAAUCUCGUGGCUCGUCUUAAUGCUUCAUCCUCUAUGUAGUCCUGAUAACCCUCGUAAAUAGAAUAAUCCUUGAGCAUACGAGUUACGGGCUUCCAUGGACUAGUAAAUGGCGCUAAACAAGUCAACAAUGAUCUGCAUUCUCCACUCACUCCUCCACCACACGCAUUCAUCGGUUCAAGAUAUUUUCCAUUGCCACUCUUAACUUAUUCCUGUCAUGAAAUUUCAAAUUUUCUGGUAUAAUAAAAUCAAUUUCAGUAACAGGAAUUGAAGAAGAUGAAUUAGGAAAAUAUUGAUUAAGGAGUGGAGAAGAUGUCACCGCAUUUGGAAAUUGUUCACUGGAUUCAUUCACUUGAAUAAUUUGAUGUUGGAGUCUCAUGUCUUCCGCUUCAACUUCCUUUUCAACUGUAUCUUUGGAUCCUCCUUCUUGAGACUCUUGCAGUUCCAUAUCACUUGUCAGGAUAAUUGCACUCUCACCUUUCUUAGAGUCAUUGAUGGUCUGUGAGGGCAAGUCUGAUAUGAAUGACGAUUGUUGAGACUCUUGCAGCUGAAAACUCAUUGGCCCCUCUUCAUAAUUAACGUUAGAGUUAUCCCACCAUCCUUGAUCAUACCGGUUUGAAUAAGGGUCAUACCACGUUUGAGAUCGAGGUGAAGAAUCUCCAAAUUUUUUUUUUGAGAUAGUCACUCAGGUAGUCUUGAUAUUCGGGGCACAUACCGGUUGAAUGAUCCCUGGCAUAACAAAUUUCACAGGUUGCAGCAGCCAUUCUUUCUCUAACAGAGUUUAGUGCCUCUGCAUAUGCAGACCUCACAAAAAAACUAGCCUCAUUGCCUUCCCCGGAAAUAAAAUCCAGUAUAUCACCAAAAUACGGAGUGUAAGAAGCCAUAAACUAAAUAAAAAAAUGUAAACAAGAUGAAUUGAAAAAGAAACAAAUAACUAGCGCCAGUCCCGGCAACGGCGCCAAAAAUUGACAGGUUGUCGAAGCCUGUGCAAUAAUAAAACCUGCUCAAACUAAAAGUGAUUUCUGUAAAUAGCGGUGAGCAGGGUCGAAUCCACAGGGACUGGGAGUAAUUAUUUCUUUUCAAGUUCACAGUGACAAGGGGGGUGUUUUGUGCAGAAGGUGACAAUCAAAGAAAUUCAACUAAAAUCUAAGAAACUACUAAAAAUUAAAUAACAAAUUACUAAAAUCUAAUGAGUGAUAAUUAAGGAUCUAGCCAAGGAAUAACUUCAGCAAUGGUUCACCCAAUUGAUCAUCGAUAAGCAAAGAUAAUUCCAAUUAUUUAUCAAUAAAUAGGUUAUAACUACCAAACAAGCGAUGGCAGUCAACCCCUCCUUACUGUGUCGGUGAUCAAGGUACGCCCGUUAAUCACUGCUCUAAUUGAGAAAUAAUCCUAGGUACGCCCAUAGAAUUUAAUUCCCCAAUUGCCUUACGUAUUAGAGGAGCCCUAUUCUAACCAAAUAACGCACUACCAGGGUUAUUUUAGAUUAGCCCGCGUAUUCCCCUGACACAAACCUAAUCAUGCCAGUUGUCACUAUUUUAGAGCAAUUAAACAAUUACGGAUUUAAUGCCCUAAUUGACAAUAGAUUACCCAAUCAACUAAUUAUCUGGAUCCAAGACAAUCAAUUAAUUAAAUAACCAUAAGUAUAGCAAUCAAGAAAUAUGCGGAUACCAAUAAGUAAAAGGAAAAGAUUAAAUUAAAACGAUCUCACAAUUUUAGGCGACCCAAAGCAUCCGUUAUCCCUUGACUAGACAAGGGAAAUUAGUUCAUUGUUGCUAAACAAAGCCCAAACAAAAUUGCAGAGAGAGACGCAGCCAUCAAUUGGGCAAAUGCCCAAGUUCAAUUCGUUUGAAGGAGUACUGAAAACCGAAAUUGCAUCAGAUGGUUUAAUGCGUUAACUUGUCUGCUCAUACCAAGGAAGAAAACGAAACUGCUACAAGCUAAAAGGUGGAAAAGCUAACAGGAAAAAGUCAAGUACUACGGCUAAGCUAUCCUGCCAUGCGUAAGAAAAGUAAAAAGCAAAGCUCCAGGAAAAGUCAACAAUAAAGCUCCUAAGCUACAGACGAAAGACUAAGCAAAGCCAGCCAUCCUUUCCUCUCUGAAGCAUUCUACUCUAAUGCCUCGCCAUUGUGCGGCGGCUCCCCUCCGAGAGGAAGAAAAUUCGAGAGAGCCCAAGAAGACUUCGGCCUCCUCCUUUUAAUGCUGUCUGCGGGCCAAUUACCAAGAAGGGUUGUGGUUUGAUAUUUCAAAAAUGUCCCUAGAUGCCUGCUACUUGAACUCUUUUUUGAUAACUGUCAAAUUGGCCUUGAUUGUGAUAUUUUUGUUCUACUCCCUGAAAUAAAUAUAAAUUACGAAAAAUGAGUAGAAUCUAAUAAUUAAUUCACAUCAAGUCAGGUAAUAGGGGAAAUUAAUAAUAAAAUAAAUAACAAAAUUGCAACCUAUCAAUUUUCAAAAGAAAAGGUAAAAUGACUUCAAUAGAGAUUUUAGUUUGAUGGAAUCUUUGACUUGAGUUUAUAUAAUUACUAACAAGGGCUUUAAGUCAUGAACAAAGAGUAACGAGUAGUCGGCAUCAGUUCGUGAUUACGCUUCACGGGGUUGGGUGUCCUCUCCGCUUGACAGAUUUGUAUCCUGAACCAGUUCUAUUGGUUCAAUAAAAAAUUAAAUCAUAAUUGUGUUCACGAUCAUAAAGUGCUCGAAUGACCGGAUACUUGGCAAAGCGGUUCACGAACCCAGAGGUUAGGUACUAGACUCGGUACCAAAGUUAAAAAAGAAAUCAUAUUUUCAUAAUUGAGAAUAAGAAAAUAAGUAAACACCUAAAAGACUUUAUUUAAAUAUAAUUCAUUAUUUGUUAAGAAAUAUCACAUAACCAUGAAUACUUGCAUAUUCAUAGUAAAAACAAGUUUGUAAAUAUCACUUAUUCUAUGAAACAAAAGCUAAAUAUAUUAUAUAAUUAUCAAGUUAAACAAGUUAAGACUCUUAUAUUGUUGAGAUAGUCAAGUAUAUCAUCUCAAAUAUAAAUAUUUGAUGAAAGAUGAUUAUAUAUUCCUCUAUUAAUUUUAGUGUUAAUUUUAGUUUUAAUGGACAAAAUUAUAAGUAUAUCCUUACAUAUGAAUUGGGUCAGGUAUUUGCGAUUUUCAAAGUUUUUGGAUUGCGACAGAAUGUACGUCCUUGUUAAUCCGGUUUGCUGCUACCCGAACUACACAUAUUAAAACCGAUUCGAGUACCCUAAAUCUAUGUUUUCAGACUCGGACCGGAUAUCGACUCGGUCAGGGUCAGGGGUCAGGGGUCAAUGGGUUCGACCGGGUUCGACCGGGGGUUAAAUCAGAUGACGUCAUAAAUAAAAAUUAUUUAGAAAUUAAAAUAUUAUAUUUAAAAUAUCUAAGAUCAUGUUAAUAUUAACAAAGGUAUAUUCAUAUAUGUUUAAUGUUUCAAAUGUAUUUAAUAAUAAAAUACAAAGAAAUUAGAAUAAUCAAGGAGCAAUUUAUAUUAUUUAAUGAAUAUUAACAAGUUUAGAAUUAAAAUUAUGGACUUGAUUAAAAAAUAACACCAAACUUUAGGACAAUAUUUAUAAAGUAUGAAAUAUUUGAGGUAUAUUAAUAGUUUUUAACAACUUAAGGAUCAAAACAUAAUAUUGAAAAUGUUUUGAUCCUAUACCAGAUGAAAGUGCUUUGAAGUUUGACCCCACGCCACACCUCUCAUUUAUUCCUCUACUCCUCACGGUGUCAUUUCAUCUUCCUGCAACUCCUUUCUUCAUCUUCCACGCCAUUCUGCAACUCCUUUCUUCUUCUUCAUCUUUUUUUUUUAAUUUCAUUUUCAUUCUUAUUUUAUUAGUUAUUUGUUCUCAAACCCAUGAAAUAUCAUGCUUUUAUCUGAUUUCUGCAAACUGUUCUCUUCUCCACGCUUUUUUUUUUUGCAUUUUUGGGUCUUUUUUUAUCUUUUGAAUACAAGAUCUAAGAUUAUAUCUUAUUUUAAAAAAGGGGUAAAACAUUGAUUUUUCAUGCUUGAAUUGAAGUCAAAGAGUGAAAAUGGAUUUGCGGAGGAGGCGGAGCUCACAAGGAUUUGGGGUUAAGAGGUCAGGAAGGGUAAAAAAGAAUUUAAAAAUAGAGAAUAAGAAAAACCCGGUUCGUACGGGUUCUUCAGGUUUCCGGUUAAACCUGGUCAAAACCGGGGUUUGACCGAGUCUUGACCAAUCCGAGUUUUUAAGAUAGCUCGGACCGGACACUUGGCCGGUUUUCGGUUCAACCAGUCGGACCGGCCGGUCCGGUCCGAAUUUAAAAACACAGCCCUAAAUUUGCGGUUCAGAUCGAAUCAAUAUUUACGAAUUUUUGGAUUUCUCUUAUCAAAAUAAACAGCAUGUAUUACAUAAACUUGCAUAUCUUUAUUACCGACAAACAAACAAAAAUUUAUUCCUAUCAUACCAUAGAACCCAACAGACAACGGGAAAAAGAGGAAACCAAAGAACAUUAAAGCGGUUAACAGUUGAGAAUUUUUUACAAUCAAAAUUUAGCCAACUAAUGAAAUCUAAUUGAGCCACCCAAAAGAAGGGAAAUUGACAGGAAAAGAUGUAGCCAUCCAAAGACAAGGAGCUUUAGGACACCUCCUAAUUUAUAUGUUUAGACUCGUUGCCAGCAAAAAACGCAGGAGUUCUCUCGAGGCUAGUCUGUUUUGAGAACACAACCGAAGAAAAUGCUUGGUUCAACUUUCCAAAUCCAUGCAAGAGGACUCCUAGUAAAAUUAAGAAUAUUGCUACAACUCAAAACUAAUUUAGCAGAAUCAAUCUUAGUAGCAGGUGGAAAUUUCCAACCCAAGAUUAGAUAUCAGUGACAGGUUGGAAUAUUACCAUCUAUAACUUGAGAAACAGAGACUUUUAAAAUUAUUCAAAUCUCAUGAGCUCAAAACAUAACAAAGUUCCUUGACUGCAAAUUGACACAUGUUUGAAAAGAAAUAGUACACAAUCAUCACUAAAUUCAGCAAAACGAAAUUACACAAAAUACCCCAACAGCAAAAUAUCUGAAUAACCUUUAAGCGGCCGUGCAUAUUGAUAAAAUGGUGCACGGUGUACAAAUCUCAUUGAUUGUUUCCACCGUGUCUUGACAAGAAAAGAGCCAUCGAUCCUUUCAAUUUUCACCUCAAUCUUCCACAAAAGCACCAAAGAAAGCCAGACCACCCAAAUGACCUUCACACUCCCUGAUGAAAUAUCAUCAAGAAAAAAUAGAGCAAUAAUUAGUUGUUUGUUCAUCAAUUUCAUUGUGCUCGUGCACGCACUACAGGCAACUGAAGUAGUACAAAAAAGCUACCAAAAUGUCAAUAAAAAUUAAACUCCCUUAAAUGAAAAAAAGCAUGAUUAUUUCUACAAGCCAAUUAAUGGUAACGACAAAAAAAAUUACCAGAUAUUGCACCAGCUCAAUCUAUGAUGAUGACCUUCAGAUUCUCAUUUCCAUUAUAUUCCUGUGCUUCUUCAAUUUCCCUCACUAAAGAUUUGACACCCUCUCCGCAAGAACUCACAUUAAUUGUUUCAAGAGUUGAUAUACGCUGUAGACAAGCAGGCAUCAUUUCCAAAUUAGAAAUGCUUUGGAGUUUUAAUUGCUGAAGGCACGGGAAGUAAUCAUCACUGUCAGGGUCUGUCUCUAUCCACUCAACAAUCUUUACAUAUUCCAAAGUCAAGACCCUGAGUUUAGGGAAUCCUCCUUCCAUCAGCUCCCAUUUUUGGCCGUCCAUUGACUGCUCUCUUAAUCUGAGGACUUCAAGAUUGGGUAGUUGUUCAAUCAAUGACAUUUUUCUACAGGGAAGACCCAGAUUGGAAAGGCUCAACUCUUUCAAAUUCAUGGGAAAAGAAAGCUCAACAUGUUCCCGUGAACCUGAGAAAUACUUGCCCCCUAAGGUGAGUGACUCUAGGCAUUCUAAUCGACUCAUGUUGCAGCAUACUCUAUUUCGUCCCCCACAAUUGAAAAUUUGAAGUUGGUGAACGUUGGGAAUCCUUCUCAAUAUGUUCUCUCCCUCUUGAUCAAGAUAAAGACACAGAUUUGAGAGUGUGUCUAAAUCGGGUAAAGUGGAGAGGUUUUCAACAACGUUGUCGCUGGAAGAGAGAAGAAUAAUGCAGUUACGCUGUACAUGUACAUGCCUCAACUUCUUCAUGUUCCAGAUGCUAUCUGGCAAUGAAACCGUCGUGCAAGAAUUUAGACGGAAGGUUUCCAAAUGUGAGAGCUUGGCUAUAGAUGGUGGAAUGAAUUCCAUGGGCUGAGCUGUACGAAGGGCUAAGUACCUCAAACAAAGAAGUGAUUCGACUUCAGCUGGAAGCUCCUUCAACAUUAGGUUAAUGUCCUCUAAAUUCAAAACUUUAAGACGUUUGUAGAUGCUAAAAAAGGAGGAGAUAUUAAGCAUCCCAAACUUAUCUCCUCGAGUAGCAUUGAAGAAUAGCAGAGUAUCUAAAUCUGGACAAAAUAGUUUUGACUUUAUAAAAUCUUCUUCACUGCAGCAAAUGGACAACCGAUGUAGGUUGGGAGGCUCAUUAAAGAUAGAAAGCUCAUCAUAUCCACGCAGGAUCUGAAGAAAAUUUUUUUCUUUCGCCAGAGUCUUACAGAACUCUAAUAUCAAAUCGUGAAUGUAACAAGUUUUGCCUCCACCAAUGGAUCUGUUUUCACUUACCAUAACUAAGUUUCGAUGAAUUAGGUCCAUCAGAUAUUCUUCUGCAAUAUCCUCUGAUCUCUUUCCUUCAAUUAUUUCCAACGAACCCUUCUGCAAUCCAGAGACACAUCAACUUCUUGGCACCAAUUUUUUCAUCCUCUCGAAAUGCAGCAAAAUACAGCAAGCAUGCCUUCAAGUGAUAUGGUAAAUGCUCAUAACUGAGCUCCAUCGACUUUUUGCAUUGUUCUGCAUCAGACACCGUGGUUGAACUUAAACUUUCAGCAAAUCCUUCCCAAACACAAAUAUCAUGCUCUAUAGUUGCUAGGACUCCAGCUGCAACAACAAUUGAAAGUGGCAAUCCUUUGCACUUUUUGGCGAUCUCCAUUCCCAAUCCAUGAAAUGCUUGAGGACAAUCUUCUUUUCCAAAAACCUUCUUCUGCAGUAAUUCCCAACUUUCUUUGUCAUUGAGUGGGCGAAGAUUGUGAGGUUUCCCCCCAUAUUCAACCUGUGAAGCCACAUUAGAAGAUCGACUUGUGAAGAUGAUUCUACUUCCUUUCUUGUCAUCCGGGAAUGAAAUUCCCAGCUCAUUCCAUACUUCAAUGUCCCAGACAUCAUCAAAAACAACAAGAUACCGAUUCCCCUUCAGCUUUUGGUAGAGCUUUUGAAGCAACGCAUGUUCAUCCAGAUUUUGAAACUCAUCAUCCAUCCUCGAAUGUUUGCCAUCAGAGUGUAAAAUUUGAAGUAACACAUUUUUCAUGUUAUAGGCUUGAGAAACUAUACACCAAAGACGAAUGUGGAAGUUAUAGAUUACUGAACUAUCAUUGUAAACUUUUUGGCUAAAGUUGUCUUACCAAGCCCAGCCAUUCCCACAAUGGGAACAAUUUCCACCUGUUUUGAUCCGCUUACAAGUCGUUCAAUUACUUUUUCUGCCUCAUCAUCAAGACCAACCAUGACUUCAUGGGCUAUUGGCAUUUUACCUUUUGAUAGCAUGUGGGUGGAAGUCUUGCUAACUUCUGGUGCUCUUAAGCUAUGAAAGGAAGGAAGACUUUCAAUAACGCUUGAGCCACUGAUCUGAUCCUUAAAAUGCUUGAGAUGGGUGUUGGUAUUAGCCAGCAUAUCACAACAGUCAAGGACCUCUGUGGAUUCUAAGAAGCUAACUUCUCCUUCCUUCACUCUGUUUAGGGAAGGCAAGCAAAUUAUAAUGCCUGCCUCACAAAGAAGAGCACCAAUUUUUUCGUUUUGCUCAUUCAUCUUCUCCUGCUGCUCCCUUAAAAUGCUUCUCAAAAACCUCAGUCCUGCAUAGAGUAUUGGCAUCUCAUCUUUCAUAGAAUCCACAAAGCUAGAGCUGCAGCAUAACAACUCCCAGAGACGACUUAUCAGAGAAUCAUUGAAGUUGUUCAAUAUCUGCUUAUCCAUCAUUCUAUUAUGCAAUGAUUUUGAGGAUCUUGUAGCUUUAAGAACUUCCAUAUAAAUCUCAUAGACUUGAAAAUCAAUAGGUGUGAUUUUCUGUUGUUGCUCAUAUAUCUUGGAGCAGAACUGAGGAUUGCAGAACUCAUCAUCCCAACAAGAACACAUGUAAGAAAGGCGUGCUGCGUUCAAAGUCACCACUUCAAAGUGAGCCAACAGCAAGGCAGGAAUAUCUACAGUUCCUCGCAAUUUGGCAAAGGGAAUGAAGCUUUUCAAGAAUGUUAGCUUUGCUUCAAGGGCUUGGACUUGAGCACCAACUUGGGGAUCCAUUUCAACAAUACACAAAUCGCUAGUUGUUAAAUCCGCUAGAUUUUGUAGAAUGAGGUCUAUAAAUUCCAUUAGUUCAUCAACUGGCAUGCAAGAAUUUGAUUCCAAUGAUCUGCUGCUUGCCAAAGUAAAGUAAACUUGGAUGAUUUCUUGCUUAAAUGAUUUGAUCUGUUUUAAAAAUUUAAAAAGCACUUCAUCGCCAACAUCACGUAUGCCACGUGCAUCAGGUUCCAACAUAAGGCAAAGAGAGUGAAUGUCCUCCUCAUAUUUGUAAACGGUAUCUUCAAUGCAAGAUAAAAAAGACGGAAGACUCACCAAGUCCAGAUCAUUGCAGUGGCUCCACUUUCUUGCACACAUAACAAAUGUUCUGAGAAAUGUUAUGUUCAGGUACGCAGCUUCAAUUUUGAGAAAUGUUACACCCACGUACGCAUAUCCAAUUUUGCCUGUUCGGAACAUGACAUUGAGGUCGUCCAUAAGCAACUUUAGAUCAAGGAAGACCCGAUCGACGCUGCAAGUGGAGGCCACGUCCAUCUGUUGUGCAGGGAUUUUUCCUUAGUUUCACUCUCAAAUUUUAAGGGGGAAAAAGAUCUCGCCGACUGCAGAGCAAGCAGCCUGAAAAUUUUUUUUUUUUCUGGUGGGAAGGUGAAGAAGAGAAAUGAGAAAAUAAAUUAUUCAACAGACAAACGGAGCAAGAUCAAGAAAGAACAGGUGAAUCAAAGUUAACGAGAGAGCGAUCAAAUAAUCUGGAAAUAUUGACUACCACUGCAUAGUUUUUUGGAGUUUUUUUUUUUUUUAAAUACUCAUUUCGUUGUUGAGAAGUGGUCUGGCAUUCCCUUUGUACAAUUUUUGAAAUUAUCCCACUGUACAUUUAUAUUGACUCAAAUUGAAAAUAACUAAAUCAAUAAGGGAAAAAACCUUCCGAAAUCUAAAGUGGAAUACGUGCAAGUGGUGGGUCGGGUUUCAUAGAAUUAUUCCAUCUCCACACAAUGAGGUGCGGUUCCACGGACCAGAAUUAUUGCUGCACGUCCCUGUCCCUGUUUUUGCAAUAAUUCCAUAGUUUAAUAUGUUAAACUUUAUAAUUGAGAAGUUUGCUGCUACGUCACCGCAAAGGAUACUCGGAGGCAUAUGUAAGUGGGGGGCCUCACAGCCGGUGAACAACUCUUUUGUCUUUUAGAGAGCUGUUAUCUUAUUUAGCGUGGGUAUAUUAGGAAGAACCAAAAAAAAUAAAGAACCAUCAAAAUAUAAAUGAUCCAGAGACUUUUAUUGGGAGGAGUAUAGAGAUAUAAAUACAAAUAUAGCUUUAACUGGUUUCUUUUCAUUUUUUUUUUAUUUUAGCAUGAAUCUUCCUGCUAGCUCUCUAGUUUUCUUUAAUUGUUUUCCUUCUUGAGCAAACCACUAAAUUUGAUCACUUUCUCUUCUAAUUGUCUCGUAUUAAUAAUCAUGACCAUUGAUCUUGGAGAUUAAUAACCAUGACCAACAAAGUAAAGAGUCUGAGAAAAAAAAAUUGAGGGCUACUUCAACCUUUCAAAUUGUGGAAGCAGAGAAUUCGAGAUUUCUGCAAUUACUAGUGUCAAUUAUAUCAUAAAAUAUAUGCAUUACCAUAAUAAAUGUAAACUCUAAGAUAAUAAAUAUAAACAGUAAAACAAUAACGUGCAAAAUUCAUGUUACCGGAGUGCAUUAAUGUUACCAAAAUACUAUAGUCAAAGAAAUGAUUGGAUUAAAUAAGUGGAAUUUUCUACUAGUUAGUAGUAUUACUUCUUUUCAAGGGCCUGGACUUAAAUACACGCUAAUUAUUUGUAUAAAUUUAUUUACUUGCAUUAUAAAAAUAUUUUUUAAUUAUAUUUUUAUUUCACAUAUAUCACAUUAAAAUAGUGAUACAAUACUUUUUAAAAAUAUUAUUCCAAAUAAUCUCACAUUCAAACACAAGUAUAUGCCCAUUUCAGUGUUACUUGGACCAUUGGAAAUUAAUUUAAGUCUUUUCACUGGUCUUUCUUCCACAUUCAGGGGGUCCAUUUGGAAAAUGAGCCAGAAGGGGACUGGUUGUUCUUCGGGUCAAGCACGGCAUGCCCAUAUUUUUAAAUGUUAGAUAUCAAUUCUUAAAUAUUUUUAAAUGUUGACGAAGAAUUAGUGAUAAUAGUCUCAAGAGUCAUAACCGAAACGCAUGCUAAUCCAAGCAUACACUGUUACAGCUUAUUAGAAAUCAAGUCAACUCUAGUCUUUCUUUCACAUUCAGGGGUGAUAGGUCAUAAUUUAUUGCUAAAUUAAUAAUUAUUUUUCUCUUGAUUUUAGCCAAAUAUUAUUUUAAUUGAUAGAUUCUACUUAUAUUUGACUAAUGGUGCUAAUUGUAGGAAAAUGAGCAAAACAUGAUUAACAAGUGAUAAUUUUCCAGUUAAUUUGAUUGUGGUACGUUCGGAACCUACAUGCAUAUUAGACAAUCUCCAAAUCCGAAUCAAUUUCCUAAUUUGAUAACUAUCAGGACCUUUCUGAUUUCAGGGGAUCAUUCUCAAGUGAUUGGGAGAGUUUUUAGGAAAUUAAAUUGUAAUAGGAAACAAAUUCCUUUAAUUUCGUGGCUACCAACGGGAGGAGGAAUUAGACUCCCAGGAGUUUUGCUUGGCUUUUUAAUUUCCGUUUGGCUUUGCUAUGUGGGGACCAUCGAGAGAAAGCCACGGGGUGGACCCUUGUAUUUGGGCUUCUAGCUAAUUUGGGGUUGACCAAGACAAAGAAGGAAAAGAAGAAAAACUUUUCUCUCGUAUGCUUGGAGGAGCCGUCAUUGUUGACUUAUUUGGCUCUUACUUUUACUUUUGUUAUGCAACAAUCGAAGGUUUCGAACAGUUUUUUCGCAUGGUUAUUCUCCAUUAAUGGAGGACUAACCUCCUAAUUCUUGUCAAGGGGAUAACUGAAGAUUUGGUUUAAUAAUUACUGUAAAAUUUAAAUUAUUUUAACUGCUUCCUCUAUUUAUUGGUAUUCGUAUGUUUUCUGCUUUUAAUUAUUGUUAUAGUUAUCGUAUAUGAUUGAAUAGAUGCGCAAUAUUUAAUUAUUCACAUAGGCUAUUGUGCUAAUUAGAGUAAUUAAAUUCGUAAUUGUUCGUUAUCUCUAUCUAAGUAGCAACUGGCAUAAUUGGAUUUAUGUCGGGGGAACAUACGUGACAGGUGCCGAACCUGUGCAAUAAUAAUAAAUAGAACCUAAUUACCACCAAAAGUAGCCAAUAAUUAAUUUUAGGUACUGGAGCAGGGACUCUAGGUGUGCAAUGGGUUACUUGAUUCACCCUAUUCCCGAAGAGUUUGCUUAACCCAAUAUACCCGAAUUAAUUAUCUGACUAAAUUUACUAACUAAUAGACAGUGACAAGCAGGGUCGUCUUCUCAGGGACUAGUAAGAUAUUUUGUUUCUUUUCAAAUCAAGAUUACUGGGGGGGUUUUGGUAUCAAAUGCCAAAAAUAAAGUAACUGCAGAAAAUAAUUAAUUUAAAGAAAUAAUUGGAGAAACUCUAGCCAAGGGUACACUUCAGAAAUGGUUCAUGCACUGAUCAUCGAAUCACAGAUAAUUCCAACAUUUAUUAAUAGAUUGGUUAUAGUUGUCUCGCACGCUCUAAACAACCAACCCUUCCUUAAUUCAUCGAUAGCUAAGGUACGACUGUUAGCUAUUUCUCUAACCCAAAAACAACCCUAGGAUUUAAUUUCUAGAUUGCAUUAAUAAUUAGAAAGGCCCAAUCCUAACUAACAAACACGCUACGAGGGUUUGUUUAAGCUAGAUCGUAUGCUCCCCUGACAUAAUCUCAAUUACGCCAGUUGCUACUAAGGUAGACAUAACGAACAAUUACGGAUUCAAUUACCUCUAUUUAGCAAAAUAGCCUACGUGAAUAAUCAAUUAUUGCGCACUAAUCAAUCAUACAUAAGGCUAUAACAAUUAAAAUCAGGGAACAUAUAAAUACCAAUAAAUGAAGAAAAUAAUUAAAAACGGCUUAGAUCUUACAGUAAUCGUUGAACCAAUUCGUCAGUUGAUCCCUCGCUAGAAUUAGGGACUUAGUUCCCCAUAAUUAGAGAACAGGCCGUGCGUGGGAAGUUUGGAGAAAUUGUUGGAUUUGCUCGUUCGAUUUCGGCCAACAGAAUGAAGAACGGAACGAAGGGAAUCGCCACUCUCUAUUGCUUCCAAUCACAAUCAUGCGAUGGAAACCUGAUGCUCUCUGCCAAUCCGGUCCAGGCUACGGGAAAAGCAAAGAUCCGCAGGUCCACAAUCGCGACUGGACUUCCACUCGCUACCAAAGAAAGGAAAAGUCAACACAGCAGCCCUUCCUCUCAAUGGUUUACAAUAGCCUACGAGAAUGUCUUUUUCUUAUUCCUUCCAUUCGGUCACAAUAAAGACAAGCAAUUCCCAAGGUCACAAGCAAUGGCCUUUUGUCUCCUUAUUGCUUACGAGAACCACGGCCAACCCAAUUCAAUUGAUAGAUUGGAAAAUAGCAAUUGCUCAAGUCAACAGAAGAUGAAAAGCAAUACUAGAAAAUGUCGACAAUGGUGGCUUUGUUCUCCCCCCUUUACAAAGCUGCGGGGGCCGCCUUUUAAACGCAUCCCCCUAAACCUAAGUCACGCGAGAAUACUUAAUUCUUCCUCGGUUGUGGUCCCCAGUUCCAGGAAGGGAUUUUUCCUUUUUUAGAAAUUGUUCUUUUUCCCAAAAUUAAAACAAGACUCUCUCAAAAUAUAAUAAAAUAAAAUCUAUUACAAUUAGAUUUCUUCAGUUUCUCAAACGGGCCCCACGUACAAUGAAUCUUCUAAAAGUUGAAUUUAAGUACUUUUCAGCAUCCAUUCCUGCAAUUAGCAUCAAAACAAAAUAUCAGUAGAAUCCACCCAAUUAAUGAAAAUAUUUAGUCAAUUAAUUGUGCAAUAAUGCCCAAAAUACCCACUAAAAUGCACUCUAUCAAUCUCCCCCACACCUGAAAUAUGCUUGUCCUCAAGCAUAAUUAACUCAGAAAUGCAAUAAAGAUGCUAAGCAAACCACAGCAGUUCAUACCAAGAAUGGUAUUCCAAAUUCCCCAAUAACCUCAUCGAAAUCAGAGUAUACCAAAUCAACAAUUCUCACCGUUUAAAGUGCACUCAAUCACUCCAAAAUGUAUAUGAGAUGUAUAUAAGAUAACUCUCAAAUCAACACAAUAGAAUGACACUACCAUAAGUUCUCAUAUAUCAUAUUUCCACCACUUACUAAUGAAUUUAAAUGCAGCAAUCAAGGGACUUUAAAAGGUUGUAAUGACUAGGGUGAGAAGGUAGGAUAAAAAUGAGUCAAAAGGGUGUAAAAGUAUAAAGAAAGUGCCCAGAAAUUCAUUACAUAGAUUCUUGCACAUUUGAAACUUAAAGGCAUCUCAACCAUCACACAAGUGAAGUAAAUUAGCACUUGUCACAACUUUCGACUUUUUCUUUCUCCUCUUUUCAUUCAUCUACUUCCCUUCUCCUUUUUUUCUUUUUUUUUUUGUUUUUUUUUUCAAUAACUCCCAACCAACACCAUAAAAAUCAACUUUACUUGUUGAUUUCCUGCACUUUGUCUUCUUUUCACAUUUCCCCUUCUUUUUUUUUUUUGUGUUUUCACCUCUCUUUUUUUUCAUAGGUGUAAUGCCUCUCAAAUAAUACUCCAAAAUUCUGUAUAAUGAAAUCAAAGCACUUCUUCACAUGAGAUUCAAAAAGAAAGUCUAAAAGGAGAUUUUACGGCUAAAAACUAGGGUCUCAAGCAAAGAAUAAGGGUUAAGACUCAACUUGGCUCCCUAGUGGUAACUAAUCCAAGGGUUGGUUUUAAGAAAGUCCAAAAAUGGCUCAUUCCUAGGUGCCCUAUCAUUUCAAUGCAUUAAACUCAUUUAAAUGUGGUCUUGACAUGCAUAACCGAGCAAGUUCUAGAAUGACAAACCAUGUGCACUAAUCACUCAACAAACGAAAAAUUAGGCCCAAAAAUCGCACAAGUGAUCAAAUUUAUGCCAAAUUCAGCAUAUUCAUCAAUCAAUUCAUCAUCGAGGAAAAUAGAGCACCCAAUGGUAUGAACUUACUACUCGUACUCAUAUCUCAAUUGCAUUCAUCACAAUUUGAAGAAAGGGACUACUAAGGCAAGGAAAAAUUUAAUCAGACAACUAAAAAUGCAACCAAAGCAUAGUUAACCCUCCCCCACACCUAAACCUUACAUUGCCCUCAAUGUAAGCAAAGAAAGAGCAAAACAGAGAUAUUGGGGCAACGACACUUCCCUUAAAACGGAGGAAGGCAGAACUGAACUACAGCUGUGGCGGGAAAGGUGGGCGGAAACUCACGUGAUGAAGAUACUGUGCUAAAUUCUAGGCCAUCCCGCCCAUUUGACGCUCCAUCCGCUCCAUACGAGUGUCCAUUUGCUCGUGCCCUUAUUUUUUUGAUUUAGUCAUUGGAAAUCAGAGGGCAGGGUGGAGGCAAGGAAAUGGGAUUCCAAAGAGGUCAACAAACAGCCAACAAAGCAAAUGACAACUAAAUACAGCUUCCAAUCACAGACAAGUGCAGAAACGACCGAUGAACACACCCCCAAGAAUUAAUUAAACCUGUCAGCAGCAAAAUUUUUUCCAAAUACCACAAAUUCAACCCAAAAAUCAAUUAAUUAGGUAAGCACAACAAUUUUUCCCCAAAAAUUAAUUAAACAGGUAGUCAGAGUAAAAACAUCCCCCAAAUAUCACCGGUCGAGCACAAAAUUUCACAAAUAGACCACAAUGAACCACAGAUAUAUUACAGCACCCAAAUAGCACAAAAUCUCUGUCCUCAGCUAGCAACUUAAAAAUCUGGCCUCAGCUAAGAAAUUAAAAUCUGGCAUCAGCUAAUAAAAGCUAGUAAUCUGGUCUCAGCUACUUAGAGACAGAAAAAUAAAGAAAGAAUUCACCGGAGGUUUGAAUGGCUGUGGGUGAAAUGGAGGGCAGGGGAGGACCCAGCACCGUGCGUGCGUCAAACGCGCGCUGGCAAACACGCCGAGGUCGCGCGUUAUGGGCGCUGCUGCGGCUGAGUUGCUGCUCGAUCUGCCUGGAGGUGAACUGGAGCUGGAGAUUGAGCGAAAGGGGUAGGCUACGCGAAAGGGGGCAACUACAGCUGAGUCGCGUAGAGGGAGGCGCGCGACUGGUGGUUCGCGCGCACGGCGGCGCUCAAAAGCUGCGCGCCUGGCUGCUGGUGCUGGAGCUCUCGCGAGCUACUAGCUUGCGCGCAAAUCUGGUGGGUGUUCGCGCCUGGAACUUGCGUGCAGGGGUUGCGUGAGAAGGAGCUGCUGGUGGCGAAACGCGGCUGGGCAGCGGGCGCGAUGGCGUGUGUGGCGCGCGGCGAUCUUGCAGCAUGCAAAGUGGCAGCGGCGGACAAGGAGAAAAGAAGGAAGAAGAAGGAGAAAAAGAAAGAAAAGGAAGAAGAAAGAAAAGAAAGAAAAUGAAAAAGAGAGAAAGAGGGAAAGAGUAGGGCUGCGGGUCCUUUGAAAAAAAAAAUUUUUUUUUUUACUCAAGGAACCUCUGGUUUAGGCGUGGGCACGCCUAACUGCCCCUAGUCUUUUGACCAUUCGUCGAAAAUUUUUUUAUCCUUUAGCGUGAUCACCGAACGUGGGCAUGUCUAACUACUACAGAAUCUUCUGACUGCGGACGAAAAUUUUCUUCUCUCAAACGUGACCACCUGGCGUGGGCACGUCUAAUUGCCACUUUCCUGCCACCAAGCAACAAAUCACUAAAUGCAACUAACACUUAACAAAAACUCCAAAAACAUAAGAAAAUUAAAACAAAAGCCUUGGGUUGCCUCCCAAGCAGCGCCUUCCUUUAAUGUCUUUGGCUAGACAUUGUCCUGUUUAUUCAUGGAGGAUAAAAUCGCGUAACUUGCUUCAGUGCUUCAUCUUCUAUGUAAUCCUGAUAGCCCUCGUAAAUAGAGUAAUUCUUGAGCACACGAGCUACGGGCUUCCAUGGACAAGUAAAUGGUACCAAACAAUCAAGUAAUGACCUUAAAUCUUCAUUCACUCCUCCAUAACAAGCACUUACUGGUUUGAGAUAUUUUGCUAUCGUGAUUCUUAACUUGUUCUUGUCAUGAAACUCAAAAUUUUCUGGUAUAAUUAAAUCAAUCUCACUAACAGGAAUUAAAGAAUAAGAGUCAGGAAAAUAUUGAUCGAGGAAUGGAGGAGAUGUCACCGCAUUUGGAGAUUGUUCACUGGAUUCAUUCACUUGAACCAUUUGAUGUUGGGGUCUCAAUUCUUGUGCUUCAACUUUCUUUUCAUCUGCAUCUUUAGAUUCUUCUUCUUGAGACUCUUGCAGUACCAUGUCAUUCGUCAGGAUAAUUGCACUCUCAUCUUCCUCAUGGUCGAUAAUAGUUUGUGAGGGCAAUUCUUCAUUCAUUCGAGAAGCCAAUGGCGUUAUCCUAAAUGUCAAUUGAUCCAUUUGAUCUACUAGGUUACGCCUGCUCACUUGUGUCUCCUAAUGCAAAUCUAUUAUCUCCUGUCGAAGUUGAUGUGUCUCCUGUUGAAUUUGAUAUGUGUUAGUAGCUAUUAAUUCAACUAUUUCUUCAAGAGACAUACCUGACAUAGAUGAUGAUUCUUGAAACUCAUACUGCAGAAAAUUCAUUGGCCCUGUUCUAUAAUUAUAACUGGAGUUAUCCCACCAUCGUUGAUCAUACCCGUUUGGAUUAGGGUUACACCACGUUUGAGACCAUGGUGAAAAAUCUCCAUAAUUAUUGAGUGGGACACUCAGAUUAUCUUGAUAUUCGGGGCACAUACCGGUCGAAUGAUCCCUGGCAUAACAAAUUUCACAGGUUGCAGCAGCCAUUCUUUAUCUAAUAGAGUUUAGUGCCUCUAAAUAUGCAAACUUAGAAAAAAAAUCAGUCUCAUUGCCUCCUCCGGAAACAAAAUCCAGUAAAUCACCAAAAUACGGAGUGUUAGAAGCCAUAAACUAUAUAAUAAAAAAUAAGAGAAAAAUAAAUAAAUAAAAAUAAAAACAAGAUGAGCUCAAAUAGAAACAAAUUAAUCUGGCACCAGUCCCCGGCAACGGCGUUAAAAAUUGACAGGUGUCGAACCUGUACAAUAAUAAUAAAUAGAACCUAACUACCACCAAAAGUAGCCAAUAAUUAAUUUUAGGUACUGGAGCAGGGACUCUAGGUGUGCAAUGGGUUACUUGAUUCACCCUAUUCCCGAAGAGUUUGCUUAACCCGAUAUACCCGAAUUAAUUAUCUGACUAAAUUUACUAACUAGUAGACAGUGGCAAGCAGGGUCGUCUCCUCAGGGACUAGCAAGAUAUUUUGUUUCUUUUCAAAUCAAGAUUAAUGGGGGGGUUUUGGUAUCAAAUGCCAAAAAUAAAGUAAUUGCAGAAAAUAAUUAAUUUAAAGAAAUAAUUGGAGAAACUCUAGCCAAGGGUACACUUCAGAAAUGGUUCAUGCACUGAUCAUUGAAUCACAGAUAAUUCCAACAUUUAUUAAUAGAUUGGUUAUAGUUGUCUCGCACGCGCUAAACAACCAACCCUUCCUUAAUUUAUCGAUAGUUAAGGUACGACCGUUAGCUAUUUCUCUAACCCAAAAACAACCGUAGGAUUUAAUUUCUAGAUUGUAUUAAUAAUUAGAAAGAUCCAAUCCUAACUAACAAACACGCUACGAGGGUUUGUUUAAGUUAGAUCGUAUGCUCCCCUGACAUAAUCCCAAUUACGCCUGUUGCUACUAAGGUAGACAUAACGAACAAUUACGGAUUCAAUUACCUCUAUUUAGCAAAAUAGCCUACGUGAAUAAUCAAUUAUUGCGCACUAAUCAAUCAUACAUAAGGCUAUAACAAUUAAAAUCAGGGAACAUAUAAAUACCAAUAAAUGAAGAAAAUAAUUAAAAACGGCUUAGAUCUCACAGUAAUCGUUGAACCAAUUCGUCAGUUGAUCCCUCGGCUAGAAUUAGGGACUUAGUUCCCCAUAAUUAGAGAACAGGCCGUGCGUGGGAAGUUUGGAGAAAUUGUUGGAUUUGCUCGUUCGAUUUCGGCCAACAGAAUGAAGAACGGAACGAAGGGAAUCGCCACUCUCUAUUGCUUCCAAUCACAAUCAUGCGAUGGAAACCUGAUGCUCUCUGCCAAUCCGGUCCAGGCUACGAGAAAAGCAAAGAUCCGCAGGUCCACAAUCGCGACUGGACUUCCACUCGUUACCAAAGAAAGGAAAAGUCAACACAGCAGCCCUUCCUCUCAAUGGUUUACAAUAGCCUACGAGAAUGUCUUUUUCUUAUUCCUUCCAUUCGGUCACAAUAAAGACAAGCAAUUCCCAAGGUCACAAGCAAUGGCAUUUUGUCUCCUUAUUGCUUACGAGAACCACGGCCAACCCAAUUCAAUUGAUAGAUUGGAAAAUAGCAAUUGCUCAAGUCAACAGAAGAUGAAAAGCAAUACUAGAAAAUGUCAACAAUGGUGGCUUUGUUCUCCCCCCCUUUACAAAGCUGCGGGGUCCGCCUUUUAAACGCAUCCCCCCUAAACCUAAGUCACGCGAGAAUACUUAAUUCUUCCUCGGUUGUGGUCCCCAGUUCCAGGAAGGGAUUUUUCCUUUUUUGGAAAUUGUUCUUUUUUCCAAAAUUAAAAUAAGACUCUCUCAAAAUAUAAUAAAAUAAAAUCUAUUACAAUUAGAUUUCUUCAGUUUCUCAAACGGGCCUCACGUACGAUGAAUCUUCUACAAGUUGAAUUUAAGCACUUUUCAGCAUCCAUUCCUGCAAUUAGCAUCAAAACAAAAUAUCAGUAGAAUCCACCCAAUUAAUGAAAAUAUUUAGUCAAUUAAUUGUGCAAUAAUGCCCAAAAUACCCACUAAAAUGCACCCUAUCAAUACGGUCUAGAUUAAAAAAACCCUCGUAGCGUGUUUAUUAAUUAGGAUUAGACCUUUCUAAUUAUUAAUGCAAACCAGAAAUUAAAUCCUACGGUCGUACCUAGGGUUGUUUCCGGAUUAGAGAAAUAGUUAACGGUCGUACCUUAGCUAUCGAAAAAUUAAGAAAAGGUUGGUUGUUUAUCGCGUGCAUGACAACUAUAAUUAGUCUAUUAAUAAAUGUUGAAAUUAUCUGUGAAUCGAUGAUCAGUGCAUGAACCAUUUCUGAAGUGUACCCUUGGUUAGAGUUCUCCCAAUUAAUUAUUUUACACAUUUAAUUUAUUUAGUUAGCAAUUCAUUAGCAUUUAAUCCCAAAAACCCCCUCAUUAAUCUUGAUUCGAAAAGAAACAAAUUUCUCUCCAAUCCCUGAGGAGACGACCCUACUUGCCACUGUCUACUAGUUAGCGAAUUCAGUCAAAUAAUUAAUCCUGGUAUAUCGGAUUAAGCAAAUUUUUCGAGAACAGGGUGAAUCAAGUAACCCAUUGCACACUUAGGGUCCAUACUCCAGUACUAGAAUUGAUUAUUGACUGCUUCAAGUGGUAGUUAGGUUUUAUUUAUUAUUAUUGCACAGGUUCGACACCUGUCAAUUUUUGGCGCCGUUGUCGGGGACUGGUACUUGAUUAAUUUGUUUCUUUUUUAGUUCAUCUUGUUUUUAUUUUUUCUUAUUUUUUUCUUAUUUUUUUUAUAUAUAGUUUAUGGUUGCUAACAUUCCGUAUUUUGGUGAUAGACUAGAUUUUAUUUCUAGAAGGGGUUAUGAGACUCAUGCUUUUUCUAAUAAUCAAUGGACUGUUGCAAAUUAUGGAACUUAUUUUGUCUCAAAUCAUUCAACCGACAUAUGCCCUGCAUUUCAAGAUGGUCUAAGUGCUCCAAUAGAUACUUUUGAAAAUUUUUCGCCUCAAUAUCAAACGUGGUAUGACCCUUAUUCAAACGGGUAUGAUCAAGGAUGGUAGGAUGAUUCCAAUUUUAAUUAUGAACAAAGUCCAAUAGAUUUUCAACAUCUAAAGUCUCAAGAACCGUUACCCAUGUCAGGUAUGUCUCUUGAAGAAAUAGUUGAAUCAUUAGCUAGUAACACAUAUCUACUUCAACAGGAGACACAUCUACUCCAACAGGAGACACAUCUACUUCAACAGGUGACAAUGAACUUUCAUCAGAAGACACAAGCGAGCAUGCGUAACCUGACAGAUCAAAUGGAUCAAUUGACAUCUAGGAUAACGCAAUUGAUUUCUCAAAUGAGUAAAGAAUUGCCCUCAGUGACUAUUAUCGACUAUGAAGAAGAUGAGGGUAUAAUUAUCUUGACAAAUGACAUGAAACUGCAAGAGUCUCGUGAAGAAGAAUCUAAAGAUGCAGUUGAAAAAGGAAUUAAAGUACAAGAAAAGGAACCCCAAUAUCAAAUUGUUCACGUGAAUGAAUCCAGUGAACAAUCUCCAAAUGCGGCGAUAUCUCCUCCAUCCCUUAAUCAAUAUUUUCUAACUCUUAUUUUUUAAUUCCUAUUAGUGAGAUUGAUUUUAUCAUACCAGACGAUUUUGAGUUUCAUGACAGGAAUAAAUUAAGAAUUGCGAUGACAAAAUAUCUCGAACAAGUAAAUACGUGAUGGGGAGUGAGGGAAGAAUUAAGGUUGUUACCUGUUUGUUUGGCGCCAUCUACUAAUCCAUGGAAGACCGUAGUUCGUGUGCUCAAGAAUUACUCUGUUGACCUUGGUUGAUCAAUCCUUAGUUUGAUGAUUAACAAACCAAAAUGUAGAUUUGGGCUAAUGUUUUUUUGUGAGUAAUUUGUUAGAACAGAUUCUUGUGGCAUAAAAGAAGAAGCAAAAACAGGGCACUCAUGUGGGAUGUCCGAAAGGAAGCUAUCGGACGUCCGAAAGGAUGAAGAACAUCAACGGACGCACGCAUCGGACGCACAUCGAUCGCAUCGGACGUCCGAGAAAUUUCGCAAAGAUUUGAUGAAUCUCUGACGACGGUCGAACGCAGGGUUCGGACGUCCGACAGGUGGUUUGGACCAGGGUUCGGAGUGACGGUUCGGACGUCCGACAGGCCAACGGCUAGUUUUGACAGCAUUUAAUAUUUGACCGUUGGAGAGCCUUUUGGAGCCAUUUCUCACAUUCUAUAAAAACCCCAAAGUACAAGAAGACAAGAGACUUUUGCCAACACAAAAUACAAGCUUACAAGUGAGAUUUUUGAGUAGAAAGAUUCUUUGUUGGUUGUAUAAGGGAUUGGGAAAGUUGGGUUGUGAGGUUGCUCAAGUGAAGGUUACUCUCUAGGAGAAGAAAAAUUGGUGAAGGUGAACCUAUCACUUGAAGUGGUAAAACUUGGUGAAGGUUGCCUCAUUUGUAUAAAAUAGUUCUUAAUUGGGAGAGUGAUCUUUCAAGUGUAGGUUGUUGAGGGUUAACUAGAAUAGUUGUAAAACUCCUUGGCUCAACCAAAGUGUGUUUGGGGUGAGGAAGGAGUGAGCUUCACUUGUACAUCUUGGUUAGCAUCGCCAUCAAUUGAAGAGGCUAUUGGAUUGAUAUUUGGUUUGCAUUUCUUAUCUUUUCUCUUUAUUAAGUUUUCUUUAUUGUGUUAAAUUUGAUAUAUCUUUGUGCAUCAUUGUGAAAUUGUUUGUACUCAUUGGGUUGCACCGGGCUCUUACAAUUGGUAUCAGAGCUUGGUCUCUUUUGAUCAAGCUUAACCGCUUAGAGUAAAGAUCAUGGCAACAUAAAAGUUUCUUUUUUUGAAGGACAAUCUAUUGAUAGACCACCUAUGUUUAAUGUUCUCAUUUUAGCAUGUGGAAACAAAGAAUGAUGAUUUUCUUACAAUCCGUUUAUAUUGAAUUAUGGUAUGUGGUAGAAGAUGGUCCUUAUGAAGCUAGAAUAGUUGACUCUACCACCAAUUUGAAUAGAUUAAAGACUAGACAAGAAUUGAAUAAAAAGACAAGAGAUACCUUUCUUUGAAUGCCAAGGCCAUGUGUAUAUUGUACAAUGCAUUAGAUGUAAAUGAAUCUAGUAGGAUUAAAGGUUGUAAAUCAGCUAAAGAUAUUUGGGAUAAAUUGUGUGUAUUUCAUGAAGGUAAUUAAGAUAUUAAAGAACAAAAGAAAUCUUUGCUUGUUUCUCAAUAUGAAUUUUUCAAAAUGCAUCCUCUUGAAAAUGUUGAUAAGAUGUGUAGUAGAUUUUGUGACAUUAUUGAAGAUCUUAAAUUGCUUGGAAAAGAAUAUUCUUUGGGUGAGAAAAAUAGAAAGAUUUUGAAUGCCUUACCAAAAGAAUGGGAAAACAAAAUAAAUGCUAUAGAAGAGGCAAAGGAUUUAAAUUCUAUGUCCAUUGAAUCUCUUGUGGAUACCCUAACCUCUUAUGAAUUAAAGCUGAAAUUCAAAGUGCAAGAGAAAGAAAAUGCAAGAAUGUAUAAGAGAGGCGUAACUUUUAAAGCAUCUCAAGUGGGGGAUAACCCAUCCUUCAUGGGUAAUGAAAUCAUGGAAGUGGACAAUGAUAUAACUCUCACAUCAAAAGUUUCAAGAAAAUCUUCAACAAGAGAUGCUCAAGAGGAGAUUGCAAAAUUACAUGGGAUGAAUGCAAUUCAAAAAGAGAAAAAGAAGAGUUGGCCCAAAUGGCACUAAUGGCCGUUGGAGAAGAUGAGGUAAGUUCUUAUCACUCUUCUUGUGAUGAAGAUAAUGAAGAUGAUGAUGUGAAAAUUCUUAUGAUUAAAAUGCAUAAAAGUUUGAGAAAAUCUUAUGCUAAAAAUAAAGAUUUGAAAACAAAAAUAAAUGAUUUGUUGGAAGAAAACUCCAAACUGUUUCAAGAAAACAAAUGUUUAAGAAUGGAAAAUGAUGAUUUAAAAAAUCAAAAAAGUGUUUUUGAUUGUAAAAUAAUUUGAAAAGGAAGUUAGAAGAGAAAACAAAGUUUUAUGAAAAAAUGUUGGAGGAACAAAAUGUGUUAAAGAAAAGAAUUAAUGACUUGAACGAGUUUCUCCAAAAUGAAAAAAAAAGUUUUCUCAAACAAAAGAAAGCAAAUCUUUUCAAGGCACAAAUAAGUUUGCUAUGAUAAGAAGUAAGAAAAUUAGUUGCAUUAAAUCCACCUAUGUGCAAAAUACUUCCAUCAUGUGUAACUUUUGUUGCAAAUUUGGACAUAUGCAAAAUGAUUGCUAUGUAAAGAAAAAUAUGAGAAAAGGCAUGAAAUUCAUGUGGAUUGCUAGAUCAUGUCGUAUUAACUCCUAAGGACCCUAUAAAGAAAGGGUACCAAAUGAAAUUUCUCAUAUUUAGGUACAUCAUGAAUAUUUGAUCCAAGUAGUGCUAUAUGGUUGUAAGUACAUUUGAAAAUUUUGAUAUUCAAUAUGGUCUUGAUUUGAAAAAUAAAGGGGGAGUUUGUUUUUUUGAUUGAUGCAAAAGGGGGAGUAGGAUUUAUUGAAAUUUUUUGUAUGUUGGCACUUUCUAAGGGGGAGCUUUAUUUGAACUUAUUUGAUAAAAGAAAUCUCAUUUUGUUUGUCAUCAUCAAAAAGGGGGAGAUUGUUGACCUUGGUUGAUCAAUCCUUAGUUUUGAUGAUUAACAAACCAAAAUAUAGAUUUGGGCUAAUGUUUUUUGUGAGUAAUUUGUUAGAACAGAUUCUUGUGGCAUAAAAGAAGAAGCAAAAACAGGGCACUCAUGUGGGACGUCCGAAAGGAUGAAGAACAUCAACGGACGCACGCAUCGGACGCACAUCGAUCGCAUCGGACGUCCGAGAAAUUUCGCAAAGAUUUGAUGACUCUCUGACGACGGUCGGACGCAGGGUUCGGACGUCCGACAAGUGGUUCGGACGUCCGACAGGCCAAUGGCUAGUUUUGACAGCAUUUAAUAUUUGAUCGUUGGAGAGCUUUUGGAGCCAUUUCUCACCUUCUAUAAAAACCCAAAGCACAAGAAGACAAGAGACUUUUGCCAACACAAAAUACAAGCUUACAAGUGAGAUUUUUGAGUAGAAAAUUCUUUGUUGGUUGUAUAAGGGUUGAGAAAGUUGGGUUGUGAAGUUGCUCAAGUGAAGGUUACUCUCUAGGAGAAGAAAAACCUUGGUGAAGGUGAACCUAUCACUUGAAGUGGUAAAACCUUGGUGAAGGUUGCCUCAUUUGUAUAAAAUAGUUCUUAAUUGGGAGAGUGAUCUUUCAAGUGUAGGUUGUUGAGGGUUAACUAGAAUAGUUGUAAAACUCCUUGGCUCAACCAAAGUGUGUUUGGGGUGAGGAAGGAGUGAGCCUUCACUUGUACAUCUUGGUUAGCAUCGCCAUCAAUUGAAGAGGCUAUUGGAUUGAUAUUUGGUUUGCAUUUCUUAUCUUUUCUCUUUAAUUAAGUUUUCUUUAUUGUGCUUAAAUUUGAUAUAUUUUUGUGCAUCAUUGUGAAAUUGUUUGUACUCAUUGGGUUGCACCGGGUCUUACAUACUCUAUUUAUGAGGGAUACCAGAAUUACAUAGAAGAUGAUGCACUAAAACGAGCUACACGGUUUUAUCCUCCAUGAAUAAACAAGGCAAUGUCUAGCCAACCCAAUGCUCUUUAUUUUAGCUUCCUUAUGUUUUUGAGUUUUUAUUAAGUGUUAGUUGCAUUUAGUGAUUUGUUAUUUUUGGUGGCAGGAAACUGGCAGUUAGACGUGCCCACGCUAAGUGGUCACGUCUAAGGAAGGAAGUUUGGAAUUGACAGACAGAAAACUCUCCAGUAGUUAGGCGUGCCCAUGCCAGAUGGUCACGUUUAAGGGAGGCAAUUCUCAUCUACGGUUAGAAGACUCUCUGGUAGUUAGGCAUGCCCACGUCGUGUGAUCACGGUUAAGGAACUCAAUUUUCGAAAAUUGGUCAGAAGACUCUCUAGUAGUUAGGCGUGCCCACACUAGGUGGUCACGCUUAAGGAUCUUCAUUUCGGACGGUUGGUCAGAAGACUUGAAGGCAGUUAUGCAUGCCCACGCCUAACAUAGGGGUUCCUUUCUUAAAAAAAAAAAAGAAAAAAAAAGCCCCAUGGUUCUUCUUUCUUUCUCUCUUUUCUUCUUCUCUCCCUUUCCUUUUUAUUCCUUUCUUUUCUUCUCCAGCCACAAGACCGUAACCAAAGGACCUCAAAUUCCAUCGCUACCGUUGCGCUGCUCAUCGUGGGUCGUCGAUUCUUGAUUAUCACUGCUUAUCGUGCGUAAUUCUUCCUCAUCCAUCGUGAGCCACCCGACAUCCUUAGCUGCCGAUCAUAGCCUUCAUCUUCAUCAAUUUUGCCCUCAAGCUUUAUAUGUCUUGUGCCUCUAAUCUACAGCUAUGCCACAACCCCCCUUUGAUGAUCAAGAAAGUUUCAUUGUCCCUUUUUGUUUUGAAUUUUAUUCUUUAUUGCUUACAUUAGGGACAAUGUAAGAUUUAGGUGUAGGGGGAGUAGUAUAUCGGUGUUUUAUUGAAAAAAGUGCAAGUGUAGGCAUUUUUAUUGGAAUUUUUUUGUUUGACUUUGUUGAAUUUUAUCCAAUUUUUGCCUAUCUUUGUGCAUAUUUGUGAUUAUUCCUGAUAAACGAUGGUUAAAUAUCUCAAAUUUUUCUACUGCCAAGAUUUUAUACUCUAAGGUGUUAGGUAUGACAUGGUUAAAUUAAAGGGUAUCUCUUUGGUGAAAUUUGAGACUUUGUGACUUUUGCACUUUUUGGUUAACUUUUCUAAGUAUUGUAAAUAUUUGUCUAGCAUUUUUUGUGCAAAUUGGUUCAGCUAUUAAUCUUAGUUCUCCAUGUUUAAGAAAUGAAGCGGGCUUGUGUGAUUUUUAAUUUUAAUUUGGUACUUAUUUAUGAAUAGUAUUCGGCUAUACUUCACUAGUAUCGUUGCUUAGUAACCGGAGGUCUUCACCAUAAGUGUCGACUUUCGCAUCAAAAAGCGACGAUAACUAUGAGUAUGUGGUUUUUAAGCGAUGAUGACUGAGUAACCGGCCUCCUUCAUGUGGCCAAUAUCGGAGUUCGUGUCAAAACGCUUGAAUGGCUAAAAACUAAACAUUCCCCAGAAAAAAAAAUCAAUCAAGUGUGGGGAUCUUUUAGAAAAAAGUUCUAAUAGUGAAAAAUGUGAAAAUGUUUGGAUGAAUUGUUAGCCCCCUGAUCCAUGAAUUUUAAUGUUGAGAUUUUGCUUACUAGUCGAACCAUUUGCUUAUGGAUGUUGGUUGAAUAUUUUAUAUUCUUAGAUUAGUUAGUCAUAAAUUGAAAGAGUCUUUAAUCUUCAAAGCUAACUGGAGAGAUAUUUCUUGAAAAAUUGCCACUAAUACUUGACAUAUGUUUUGAUUAUAUCUUGGCAAUAGAAGAUUUGAGUAAUACUAUUGUUUGAAUUUAAUUACUUGAUUUAUGUUCUCAUGCUUGAGGACAAGCAUGGUUUAGACGUGGGGGAAAUUGAUAGGUCAUAAUUUAUUGCUAAAUUAAUAAUUAUUUUUUCCUUGAUUUUAGCAAAAUAUUAUUUUAAUUAAUAAAUUCUACCUAUAUUUGGUUAAUGGUGCUAAUUGUAAGAAAAAUGAGUAAAAUAUGAUUAAAAAGUGAUAAAUUUUCAGUUAAUUUGAUGGUGGUAUGUUCGGGACCUACAUUCAAGACCAAAAAGUCGGGAUUGAUAUUAGGCAAUCUCCAAAUCCGAAUCAAUUUCCUAAUUUGAUAGCUAUCAGGACCUUUCUGACUUCAGGGGAUCAUUCUCAAGUGAUUGGGAGAGUUUUUAGGAAAUUAAAUUGUAAUAGGAAACAAAUUCCUUUAAUUUCGUGACUACCAAUGGGAGAUGAGGAAUUAGACUCCCAGGAGUUCUGCUUGGCUUUUUAAUUUCCAUUUGGCUUUGCUAUGUGGGGACCAUUGAGAGAAAGCCACGGGGGGUGGACCCUUGUAUUUGGGCUUUUGGCUAAUUUGGGGGUUGACCAAGACAAAAAGGAAAAGAAGGAAAACUUUUCUCUCGUAUGCUUGGAGGAGCUGCCAUUAUUGACUUAUUUUGGCUCUUGCUUUUACUUUUGUUAGACAACAAUUGAAGGUUUCAACAGUUUUUUCGCAUGAUUAUUCUGCAUUAAUGGAGGACUAACCUCCUAAUUCUUGUCAAGGGGAUAAUUGAAGAUUUGGUUCAAUAAUUAUUGUGAUAUCUAAAUUAUUUUAACUGCUUCCUCUAUUUAUUGGUAUUCGUAUGUUUUCUGCUUUUAAUUAUUGUUAUAGCUAUCGUGUAUGAUUGAAUAGAUGUGUAAUAUUUAAUUAUUCACGUAGGCUAUUGUGUUAAUUAGAAGUAAUUGAAUCCGUAAUUGUUCAUUAUCUCUAUCUAAGUAGCAACUGGCAUAAUUGGAUUUAUGUCAGAGGAACAUACGAUCUAACUUAAACAAAAUCUCGUAGCGUGUUUGUUAGUUAGAAUUAGGCCUUUCUAAUUAUUAAUGCAAACCAGAAAUUAAAUCCUAUGGUCGUAUCUGACAGGUUGUCGAAGCCUGUGCAAUAAUAAAAACCUGCUCAAACUAAAUGUAAUUUCUGUAGAUAGCGGUGAGCAGGGUCGAAUCCACAGAGACUGGGAGUAAUUAUUUCUUUUCAAACUCACAGUGACAAGGGAGUGUUUUUGUGCAGAGAGUGACAAUCAAAUAAAUGCAAAUAAAAUCCAAGGAACUACUAAAAAUUAAAUAAUAAUUUACUAAACUUAAAUGAAUGAUAACUAAGGCUCUAGCCAAGAAAUAACUUCAUCAAUGAUUCACCGAAUUGAUCAUCGAUGCAAAGCCAACUCCAAUUAUUUAUCAAUAAAUAGGUUAUAACUACCAAACAACCGAUGACAGUUAACCCCUCCUUACUGUGUCGGUGAUUAAGGUACGCCCGUUAACCACUGCUCUAAUUAAGGAAUAAUCUUAGGUACGCCCGUAAGAUUUAAUUCCCCAAUUGCCUUACGUAUUAGAGGAGCCCUAUUCUAACCAAAUAACACACUACCAGGAUUAUUUUAGAUUAGCCCGCGUAUCCCCCUGACACGAAUCUAAUCGUGCCAGUUGUCACUAUUUCAGGACACAAUUACGGAUUUAAUGCCCCAAUCGACAAUAGAUUACCAAAUUAAUUAAUUAUCCGGAUCCAAGACAAUCAAUUAAUUAAAUAACCAUAAGCAUAGCAAUCAAGAAAUAUGCGGAUACCAAUAAAUAAAAAGAAAAAUUAAAUUAAAACGAUCUCACAAUUUUUAGAUGAACCAGAGCCUUCGUUGCUCUUUAACUAGAGUGGUGAAAUUAGUUCAUAAUUGAUGCACGAAACCACCGAAAAUUGAAGAAAGAACUGCGGCCAUCAAGGGUGAUAAAUUCACUUCGUUCAAAUUUUUACCAACGAAAAACAAGCUACAAGAAGUAAAUUCUGGCCUCCACUUUGCCUACACAUACGGAGGAAGAGAAAGCUACUAAGUGCUGAAGAGAAGAAAAGUCAAAGAAACCACUUCUAAAUGCUGCCUGACUUUCGUCAGAAGUAUUCCACUACCACAAGCUAAAGAAGAAAAGUCAAAGACGGAGGAAAAAGGUAAAAAGCCAUAGUGCUAGUUCUCUGCAUUCUCUAUUCUAUAUAAUGUCUGACAACUAUUCUCCCCCUAAUCUCUUCUGAAGCUCUCUUUUUCUCAAUUGCGGCGGCACAUCAGGAGAACGAAGCCCUCUAGCUGUCCUUCCCUCACGGAAUUUACCACAAUGGACGUACUAUCUUCUUUUUCAGAAAUACCCCUGGGGCAAGCUCUAUCAUCUGGACUCAUUUUCUAUCAAAUUGGCACCUGUUAUCGUAUUUUCGUUUUAUUCCCUGAAAUAAGUGCAAAUUAAGAAAAAUGAGUAGAAUCCAGCAAUUAAUCCACAUCAAGUCAGGUAAUAGGAGAAAUUAAUAAUAAAAUAAAUAGUGAAAUUGCAACCUAUCAGUAUCUAGGGUUGUUUCCGGGUUAGAGAAAUAGUUAACGGUCGUAUCUUAACUAUCGAAAAAUUAAGGAAAGGUUGAUUGUUUAUUGCGUGCAUGACAACUAUAACUAGUCUAUUAAUAAAUGUUAGAAUUAUCUGUGAAUCGAUGAUCAGUGCAUGAACCACUUCUGAAGUGUACCCUUGGUUAGAGUUCUCCCAAUUAAUUAUUUUGCAUAUUUAAUUUAUUUAGUUAGCAAUUCAUUAACAUUUAAUCCCAAAAACCACCCAUUAAUCUUGACUCGAAAAGAAACAAAUUUCUCUCCAAUCCCUGAGGAGACGACCCUAGUUGCCACUGUUUACUAGUUAGCGAAUUCAGUCAAAUAAUUAAUCUUGGUAUAUCGGAUUAAGCAAACUCUUCGGGAUAUGGUGAAUCAAGUAACUACUUGCACACCUAGAGUCCCUGCUCCAGUACUAGAAUUGAUUAUUGACUGCUUCAGGUUGUAGUUAGGUUUUAUUUAUUAUUAUUGCACAGGUUCGGCACCUGUCAAGGGGUCCAUGUGCAGAAUUCGAUAGAUUGAUGUAGAUACUGUUCUGGUUCUUUAAUUCAAGUUUUAGCCUUUACGGGGGCAAUGUUGUAGUUGGGAGAAGAUUUCAUGCACAAUGCAUAACUGAUCUCUGGCCUUGCGAUUCUAACUUGCCCCAUUUUUUAUAUUUGUACAACUAUAUUUAGGUUUUUGGGACCUGAACAAUUUUGGGCUAAUUGAUAUAUGUCGCAAGAACAUUUUCAUAUUCUCUUGUGGUUAAAUUCAAAAAUAUUAUACACAACUAAUGAAUUGAUAAGGCUUUUAUAGUGUUGUAUUUAUCACUUAGGUUAGCAGCGAAACUGCCUCAAUAUUGGCUGGCUGAUCUCAAGCAGUUUGAUCAAAGUAUCAAAUCAAGUAGUUUGAUUAAGAAAAUACUCCCAAAACCCCAUGAUAUGUAGACAUACUUUUUAACAUUAGUACUGAUCGUCUAUUUUAAAUCCCUUCAAGAAAAAUAUCAUAAUUAAUAUCUACUUACAUAUGAGCUCGAUCAGAUCCGAUCAAUGCAAGCGGAGGUCAUCUCCAUCUCUUAUCAUGCAAGGAAAUUCCUCAAUUUCACUCCCAAAUUUUAGUGUAGCAUAAGGAGAAAUAUUAACAAAUCUCGCCUUCUCCAGAUCUAGCAAGUAUUUCUUCUGUGGAAUAUUCAAUUAUUCAACAAACGAAUGGAGCAAGAAAGAAAAGAUUAACAAUUAACAACGUAGUGGUGACAGUAGUGUAGGAAUUACGUGAAAGUUGCAUCUCGGUUUGGAAAAGCAAAGAAUUUUUUUUAUUCAUUACUUUAUGGUUUUUGAAUGAAUUAUUUCACUCUCAUUUUGUAGCUAAAAAGCACCAGUGUCGGCAUUGUCCAAUAAGAAAGGGACCCUUUUUUCUUAAACUUUAAAAGAUUUUCGCUUUCCAUAAGGUAAGACUUUCUUGGAAUUUUCGAGAGAAAAAGAGCAUAUAAGGGGCCAAAAAAAGAAAGGAAAAAAUUAAAGUCGAACAGAAAUUUUGAUUAUCACAAAAAUAGUUUCUUUCAUUUUCAAGUGAAAGGGAAAAAGAGAAUGAUAAUUUAUAAUUAGCUUUAUUUCGCUUUUUUUUUUCCCUUUUUGUUCAAAAUUCAAACAUUGUUGUUCAGUAUGCAUGCUCCAAAAAUCAAUCUUAUAAUCCAAAAAUCAAUUGCUAGUUUUUAUUUUCAAAAGAAAAUAGUAAAAUGACUUCAAUAGAGAUUUUGGUUUGAUGGAAUCUUUGACUUGAGUUUAUAUAACUACUGACAAGGGCUUGAAGCCAUGAACAAAGAGUAAAGACGAGCGAGCAUCAGUCCGCGAUUACGUUUCACGGGUCCGGUGUCCUUUCCGCCUAACAGAUUUGUAACCCGAACUAGUUCUAUUGAUUCGACAUAAAUCAUUACUGUGUCCAUAGUCAUAAAGUACUCGAAUGACCGGGUAUUUGGCUAACUGGUUCACGGACCCGGAGUUUUUACCAGACUCGGUACCAAAGUUUAAAAAAAAAAAUCAUAUUUUUACCAGACUCCUAGUAGAAUUAAGGAUAUUGCUACAACUCAAAACUAAUUUAGCGGGAGCUUUAGCAGAAUCAAUCUUAGUAGCAGGUGGAAAUUUCCAACCCAAGAUAUCGGUGACCGUCAUCAUAUAGCACAUAAUUUCACGGUUGGAAUAUUACCAUCUAUAACUUGAGAAACAGAGACUUUAAAAAUUAUUCAAAUCUCAUGGGCUCAAACAUAAAUUGUUAAUCAAUUCUGUCAAAAUGAUGGAGUUUGAACCUCAAAUAGAAAAAAAAAAAAAAAGAUAACAAAGUUCCUUGACAGCAAAUUGACACAUGUUUGAAAAGAAAUAGCACACAACCAUCACUAAAUUUGGCAAAACGAAAUUACACAAAAUAUGCCAACAGCAAAAUGUCUUAGUAACCUUUACACUGCCGUGCAAUUGAUAAAAUGGUGCACGGUGUACAAACCUCAUUGAUUGUUUCCACCAUAUCUUGACAAGAAAAGAGCCAUGAUCCUUUCCGCCAUAUCUUCCACAAAAGCACCAAAGAAAGCCACAGAUAACCAAUUACAAUCUCAAGAGGAAAAACCACUGUAGCAGUCCCUCCCUGAUGAUAUCAUUAACAAAAAUUAGAGCAAUAAUUAGUUGUUUGUUCAUCAAUUUCAAUGUGCUCGUGCAUGUAUUACAGGCAACUGAAAUACAAAAAUGCUACCAAAAGGUAAAUAUAAAUUAAACUCCUUUAAAUGAAAAAAGCAUGAUUAUUUCUACAAGCCAAUUAAUGGUAAUGACAAAAAAAAUUACCUGAUAUCGCAUCAGCUGAUGCCCUUCAAUAUUUUCCAUAAAUGAUCCUCAGAUUCUCAUUUCCAUUAUAUUUCUGUGCUUCUUCAAUUUCCCGUACUAAGCAGGCAUUAUUUCCAAAUAAGAAAUUCUGUGGAGUUUUAAUUGCUGAAGGCACGGGAAGUAAUCAUCACUGUCAAGGUCUGUCUCUAUCCACUCAACAAUCGCUACAUAUUCCAAAGUCAAGACCCUGAGUUUAGGGAAUCCUCCUUCCAUCAGCUCCCAUUUUUGGCCCUCCAUUGACUGGACUCUUAAUUUGAGGACUUCAAGAUUGGGUAGUUGUUCAAUCAAUGACAUUUUUCUACAGGGAAGACCCAGAGCUUCAAGACUCAACUCUUUCAAAUUCAUGGGAAAAGAAAGCUCAACAUGUUCCUGUGAACCUAAGAAGCUGUAGCCCCCUAAGUUGAGUGACUCUAGCAUUCUAGUCGACUCAUGUUGCAGCAUACUCUGUUUUGAUCCCCCAAAUGGAAAAUUUUAAGUCGGCGAACGUUGGAAUCCUUCUCAACAGUUUCUCUCCUUCUUUAUCAAGAUAAAGACGCAGAGUAGAGAGUGUGUCUAAAUUGGGUAAAGUAGAGAGGUU